CUGGGAAAACGCAGAGGAGUUUAUACCGGAGAGGUUCGAGGACGGCACGGCUACCUACAAGGGCUCGCGGUUCGAGUACUUGCCGUUCGGCACUGGAAGGAGGAAGUGCCCCGGCGAUACCUUUGGGCUGGCCACACUGGAGCUCGCGGUGACACGGCUCCUCUACUAUUUCGAUUGGAGCCUCCCUGCCGGAACACGGGUAGAUGAGCUCGACAUGGAAACAAGCGUGGGGAUAGCCACGAGGAGGAAGAACCAGCUGCACCUAGUGGCGACCCCUUAUAAGUGUGCUUGCUAGGCAAAUACUAUCUAUGUGCUCUCUUAUGUUCUUUUCCGUACACAAAAAAAAAUCACCGUGGAGUUUUUUUUCCCGAGAAAUAAUCACUGUCGAGUGUAUUUGUAAAUUAAGUUCAUAACCUCUUUAUGCGUGCACAUGGACGGGUGAAUAGCUCAUGUGUGAAGUUUUUGAUGCGAAUUGGAAAGAAUGAAACGUAGUUGCGAUGAUUUACAUGGCAAUAAUAGCCCCUAUACAAUGGGAAUGGUCAUCAACGGGGAACGCAGUUAAGUUAAAAACAGGGAGUCAAACUGAUAAGUGCAUCUGGUGGCGGUCCUCACUUGACAGUGCAUCGAGGUUAACGAUUUCCCGCCCGACUAGACCCGUGCUACUCCCCUGUUUCUGGUUGCUGCUCCCGUCUUCAUUCUCGUCGGCGGCGGCGACGGCGGCAGAGCUUACGUUCACGGUCUCGACGGCGUAUGUGGAAAGUGUAUUCGGCAUUCUAGAGUUGUUCCCCUAAGUCUUGAGUUAGAUCUAACCAAGUGAGCCUUUGUUUUCCACGGGAUCCAGAUUGUGGAGGCGGGUGGGGUGGGGGAGCGGUUGCGGCGUUGGGCUGAACGAGAUGGAGCCGCGAGAGACAACACCGACUAGGUAAUGAUCACCCUUUCUAACCUAUGCGAUGUGUGCCUAGUCUACUUCUGCUGCCUCACGGUGUCCGCCAUUGAUACACAUGGGCGAUGGUGCUCAGGUCUUCGAAUUCACUAUUGAAUUCUUUCCGUCUAAAGUGAAGCUAGUUGAUGGUAGUGUGCGAGACACACAGAGAGAUACAAUUGUGAAAUGAGAGGUUGAAUUUGCAGAAAUUGACCCAUAGAAAAUACAGAGAUGGAAGAGAGGGGCGUGAGGAAAUUUGAGGAGAAAGUUGGGGAGAGCAUUUUUUGGGUCCAGGGUAAGAGGUAUAAUUGUUACUGUUUGAUAANNNNNNNNNNNNNNNNNNNNNNNNNNNNNNNNNNNNNNNNNNNNNNNNNNNNNNNNNNNNNNNNNNNNNNNNNNNNNNNNNNNNNNNNNNNNNNNNNNNNAUUAGUUCAUUGAGUUUAGGAAAGGAUGCCAGUUUGGAACAGUUGGUGGAGCAUGGUGAAACGCGCUCAUUUGGAGUGGCUGAAACAGAAACGUACUCGAGAGCUACUCGUCUUCCUAAAAGCUCUAGCAAUGCAAGACCUGUCCUAAUGCAAUAAAUACCGGUGCUCUCGAACUCAAUCAGCACAGGUACAGGGCCAGGUGCUUCUCCAGCUCUUGGUACCGUCUCUUGUGCCCCACCUGUAUAGCUAGGGUUAAGUAACCCAUUCAGGAGAAGAUAAGAGAAACACCAUCUGGUAAGGUUGGAUCUAUAAAACAACGUUGGUUGACAGAGCUAUCUUGACAUUAUAGGUGGGGUCUUUGGAUAGCAGGUAUGCUGUGUCAGAGAGCAUUGGUGAGAUUAUCCAUCUUAUAACCCCCGUUAGACCGACAGAUGAUAGAUUCCCUUCCAAGCCAUUGAAACCUCGCUUUUCUUAUCUAAAUACAGGUGUUAGAAUACGUUUUUUGAUUGAAUAGGUUCUAUCUGCUUCCAAUCAUUAUCCAUGUGCUUGUGAAUUUAUUAGAAUCCAUUUCAGUAGGACAACAGGGCUCUCGCCUAGCUGAUUCUAAAGUGGAAGCAAUUCAGGUAUCAGCACAUACAGGUACUAAUUCACAUUUCUGUCGCUACCCCGUGGUAUUGGAGCUUGUAGUGAUAAGGAUUUUUAUAAUAGAUAGUUUGUUUUAUCCUUGAAGUAAGAGCACUGAGAAUAGCUUAGCUUUCCAGUCGAAAGAAAGCAUAGAGAACCAUCAAACAAAUACUGGAUGGAGAAUGCACUCUUCGUUGCCCAAAGGAAAGGGUGCAGGUCCAGUAAAUAUCGCCUUUAAAGGGCUAUGUCUAUAGACAGUUCUAACAGAGAACAUAGUAAGCGGAAGGAAUUAGUGCCUUGAUCGCCCUCUUGCUUUUUGUCAAUGGAUCAUGAACAUUUUCUAUUUGUUUUAUUGAUUCAUGCGAAAUGAAAUAUGAAUAUUCGAGUGCUUAGGUAGUAGUUGGCGCGUACUAUAGAUACGCGAAAGAGUACCUGUAUCCUUGCAGGAUUUGGUCCGAAGGUUUGAGUCAGUACGGUGAAGCAUUGAAGGAAUCGAAUGGAAAAAGAGCUUAAAAUAAGGGAUUUUUUAAGCUCUGUAAGUACUAACUAGAUGCGCAGGGCAUCAGAGGCUUACUCAAAUGGAACAUACGAAUCGAACCUUGCUUGACUCUCUUUUUCAUACUUGCCCUCGGGAUCAGUGGUAGAUUCAUAACGUUAUUACUCAUGGGUAGCAGAUGAUGGAUCCAUUUCUGUUGAAGCAGUGGAGUGAAGAGGAGGGUUGGGUCCUGCCUCACAACGAGCCCGGGUAGAUAGAUAGGUAGAUAGUAGAUAGCAGUCCGGAUAGUGAUAAAAUCUGAAAUAAUCUUCUUCUUGAUUGAAAGAAAGCCUGUGCCGGAAAUAGAGAGAGUUCUGCUCUUGGUUGACAUAGAUCGCUCUACUCUCGAAUUGACAUACAUAGAGUUGAAAACACACUCCUCACAAAUGAUCAUAGUUCACUACUAAUGAGCGAGUAACUACUAACGUUACGAGCAAAAAGACGAAUCUACUUGGUUCAUAUCAUAUGUUCCGCUCCGUUGACAGGUUCAUAUAUGUACCUGAUGUUCAUGGAAACAACAGGAUGAUAAUCCGUUGAUGGGAAACUCACUUUGCUAUGCUAGGAAACUGACUAAUGAAACUAACAAGUUCAAGUGCUCUAGUCAAGUAGUAAGCUCCAGUGGGAAGCGCUAGUCCAGAUAGAAAGAAUAGACAGGAGGAUUGCCAGGUUGGUCCGCACAGGUGCAUAUCUGUAGGUUUCAGCACGGGAUUCCAGAUCGUUGGUACCCGAUGUUCAGUUCAUGGGAAUGGGAAUGUAGGAAACUCUCUCUUCCGUCCGGAACAUAUAGAUAGAUUGAUUGCUGUAGCAGCAAGUCAACUAGAUCCAGUGAGGAAUGAGAACCUUUCCGGGGGCAAGGGGGGGGGCGAAGAUACUAGCUACUAUUACUAUUGGCUAUGGAUGUCCUAACACGAACGAAGUCUAUACGAGCAGAGGAAAGCGAAGCGUAUUGGUUGGUUCGGAUUUCAGAGUGCACUGGUUCUAUUCUAACUAGACUCGCAUCAUAAGUUUGCCUGCUUUCAAAUCCCGCGAAAGUACUACUGGCAGCUCCUAUAUGAGGUUGAUGCCACAAAGAUUAUCAUAUCUACAUGAAAGGAAAAUUCAUGGAAAGGAAAAUGAACGUGAUGCACACUAGAAAAGAUACCAAGCAAGAGGAUGUGCGCAACGUCGCGCUCGAAAGUCUUGUCUAUGAAAUCAAACCCUAGUUCCGUGAGGAGGAAGACUCUCUUCGGUCGAGGGAUGGAUGGACUAGUGCCGUAAGGAUGAGUGAUGCUAGAGGGAAGUAGAUCAAUAGGUGCCGCUUGCUUACUACAGUGACAAGGAAAUCAAACAAAGUAGUGGCCAGGCCAGUCUCAAGAAUGGGUGAGUCAAGUAAACUUGCCAGUAUGCCGGGAAGCCGGUAAUGCGAGGGUAUCUCCAGUCGAAAAGGAUGCCGGAUCCAACUAAUACGGCUAUGCUUGAGGAAGAAGAGUGCUCCUACUCCUACUUCAGCUUCUAAGAAUAGGCCCGGUGCUAACUCCACCUUCCGGACUGCCCUUCAUCGGCACGAAAGUAAGAUUGGACAUGAUAGACGGAAGCAGAAUCGAGGCAGUAUCAGUUUCCUGGUUUCGAGGAAGGAAAUGUCCGCGGGGCUCUCUUAUCUUCUUAAAGGAUGAGUGUGUAUACAACCAACCUAUAAUACGUAUUUUCGAGGUUCCUAUGCUAUGGUAUCCAGGUUCCCGCCAGGGAAGGGGAGGUUCCUAUGCUAUGGUAUCCAGGUUCCCGUGAGGGAAGGGAUAGGGUGCCGUGUUUUCCACAGAACAGUCUGGUGGAAUCCAGUGGUAUAUAGAAGCUCUGUGCCCUUCUCUUUCUCCUGCAGCAAUAUGAACUCAAAGGGAUCCUUUCCUACCCGGGACAACUUCAUAGCUCCUACCUUUACUCUUGAUUUGCGCAAGAGUGCUCGUCAGUGAUCUCCAUUCACAAAAGUGGAAAGGAAUGUUCCAUUGCCACGAACAAUAUGGGCUUUCUCAUGGAUUCCCCUUUUUCUUCUACACAUUGUACUAAUAUAAUUGGAUUGGGAAUUCGCAGGAAUGGGUAUUGAGAGGAGGAUCACCAUGGCCAAAACAUCUCUUGUCAGCGACAAACUCUAUGAUUUGCCAAUUCCAAUCGAUUUGCAUAUCAGCAAGCAGGGAUGAGCACAUCUGGAAACCUUGACUUCCUCUGGAUGCGGACCAAUAUAUGCACCGAACUCAGGUCGUGCUUCCAAAAUGUUCAAAAAAUUCUGAAUUUUUUUAACACACUGACACAACCAACAUAGGACGUCACAAAAUUGAAAAACGUAACUCGAAAAACAAAAAUGACAAACUCAACACUGAAUAGUACAUAACAUAACUUGGGCUUUAGAUUUGGCUCAUUAUCACACCGAUGUCAUAUUUUUCAUUUUUACAUCUCAAAAAAUAUUUUGAAUUUUUAUAUGAAAUUCUAUGACAUCAUACAUCGAUGUUGCAUUAACAUGCUAGUUUUUUUAUAGAUUUUUUUAAAAACUUUUUGUGGCAUCCGGUGGGUUCUGCGAGGUGGCUGAUGCGGGAACAGGCCCUGAAGCGAGUCCGCCCAAGUGCUCGGUCGUUUUCUGGCAGGACAGCUCGGUGGCAAUUUGGAAGUAAUUAGGGUACAUUUAUAUUUUCAAACGUUUUCUUUGGAGGGACUAGCCGGAAUCUAAGAUUCUAGGAGAAACCAGGUAUUUUUAUAGAUUCUGAAUUGCACUAGGAUUUUACAGAAUUCGGUCAAGAUUUAAAAAGUUCAAUCCAGUUCUUUUGAUUCCAGAUUUUCGGGGACCGUAUUCUUUAAAAUCUGCUCAAAAGAACUGGCCAUAUUCCAGAUUUUAUGACAUCAUACAUCGAUGUUGCGUUAACAUGCUAGUUUUUUUUAUAGAUUUUUUAAAAACAUUUUAUGUCAUCCGAUGCAUUGGUAGCACCAGAAGUGCGAGCCAGUUCUUUUCACCUGGGAUUCUACAGAAUCAAGAUUAUGGAAAAUUCUCCCAGAAUCUGCUUCUCUCAGAACCAGUCGGCGAGUUCUUUUUGAAGGUUGUAGUUUGAGAUUCUGGAAGUGUUGUGUGUUGAAAUGUCUAUACUACCCUUAGACCAAAGUUGUCUGAUGAAUUGUUAACACUUUAACGUCAACAUCAGCAAGCAUCUAACAAAUUCAAGCAUUAAUCCAUUUAUCUAUCUAUUUGAAACUACUCCCUCCGUCCAUAAAUAAGUGUACAUGUAGAUUAGUACUUAGUCAAACUUUUUAAAAUUUGAUCAACUUUAUAGAAAAUAGUAGCAACAUAUAUGGCAUGAAAAUGAUAUAUUUAGAAACCUCAUGUAAAGACAAAUCUAUUGAUACUAAUUUGAUGUCAUAAAUGUUAGCACUUUUUCAAUAAAGUUAUCAAAGUUUAACAAGUUUGACAGACAAAAAAAAAAUACACUUAUUACCGGACGGAGGGAGUACAUCAUCAUCAAGCAUUUAACAAGUUAAAGCAUUACAGAAUGAAGAACAGAUAAAUGGAAAAAGAGUGGCUCACCAUGAGCGUUGAGGUGCAACGACGGGAGGCCGUCGAGGUGCGCUGGGCGGACAGCGGGGCGGGGCGAAGGCAGCGAAGGAAACCUGGCAGGAGAGGGCAGCGACGACUGGAGCCGCGGGGGGAACCUGGACGACGCCGGGUGCGACGACUUGGCCGAGGACAGCAAGGUGGGUUCGACGGGGGAGAGGUGGGUUCCGCGAGGUGGCCGAUGCGGGAACAGGGCCUGAAGUGAGUCCGCCCGGGUGCUCGGUCGUUUUCUGGCAGGACAGUUCAGUGGCAAUUUGAAGUAAUUAGAAUACAUUUAUAUUUUCAAACGGUUUUUUUUGAAGGGACUAGCCAGAAUCUAAGAUUCCAUGAUUUAAAAAGGUCAAUCCAGUUCUUUUGGAUCAGGGUUUUGGGGGCCGUAUUCUUUAAAAUCUGCUCAAAAGAACUGGCCCAUACUCCCCCGGGCGUCCCUAGUCGACCACCUGCAUUUCCAAAAAAGAAAAAAAAAGAUGCUCGUACCAGAGCAUACUGCGAUCUCCACGAAACCCGUCCGGAUGUCGUCGUCGUAGCGAGGCGUCGGCAAACGGGACGUGGCGCGCGCGCAUCGCCGCCCCCACCCCACACGGGAUCCACCACCAUCCGUCCGUCCGUCCGUCCAUCCGCCUUUCAGACACAAAACAGAACGAAACCAUCCCGAUCGGUCGACCGAUCCAUCCAUCCACACCCUCCGUCCCUCUCCCACCCCACACCACUCCUCUCCUCGGGCAGCCCAGUCGUCGUCGUCGCGACCGAGGACCAGAGACGCGGGCGGGGAGCUCGAGGCGGAGGGACACCAUCAGCAUCAUCGGCAUCGGCGCCGGGUCAGGGGCCAGCAGCGAUGGGCUUCGUCUCCUUCGUCGGGAGGGUGCUGUUCGCGUCCGUCUUCCUCCUCUCCGCCUACCAAGAGUACGUCCACACCCGCACGUCCCUUCCCCCCGUCUCCCCCCCGCCAGAUCUCGUCUCCGGCCGCCUCCCGGGGACCGACGCGCCGCCCGCGUGCGGCCCCUGGCUCCUGCUUGUCGGUGCGACGNNNNNNNNNNNNNNNNNNNNNNNNNNNNNNNNNNNNNNNNNNNNNNNNNNNNNNNNNNNNNNNNNNNNNNNNNNNNNNNNNNNNNNNNNNNNNNNNNNNNNNNNNNNNNNNGACCCGCCGCGGCGAUUCGUAGAGGCAGAUACGCGCACGGGGAGCGCGUGAGGAGGGGUUUCGGAUCAGGCCAGCGGUCCAUUCCAUGCGGAUAGCGUAGCGGCUCGAAGCGCGCGGCUCCUUUGAGUCUGUGAGUGACGAACCCCAUCCGGUCCAGAUGCUUCCUCAGUCCAGCGUCUCCUCUUCCAGAACGCGCACUUUACCCGCCGCUCCUUCAUACUACGAGCUAGCUAGCUUCACUCCGCUGGCAGCUUUGGUUCGAUACCAAGGGCUACGAUGCAUUUGUAUGUCAAAUUUUCCAUGGUAGUACAACAAGUGUUGCGUUGCUCCUUGUGUUAGCCGAGUUAUUUCACCGAUGGCGCAUAGCUAGGUAGCCAUAGCUUCACCCUGCUGGGCCUUUUUAGGCCUUGUGCCGUUGCUUCUCAUUUAACCUCAUUUUACUGGUACCAGCAGAAUUGUUUCCAUAUCAAGGGCCAUGUCAUUGUUUGGAUUUCAUUUUUUAUCUGGUAGUAGUCGUAGUAGUACAGGAAGUGCUGUGUUGGUUCUUAUGCUAGUCCCGUUAUGCUUCUUAUUAGUUGGCUGCACAGGUCAAGUACCGCUCUCUAAUUUCCGAAUAUCUCCAUGCUUCCAAUGUACACCAUGCAGGUUCAGUGAAUUUGGGACCGAUGGAGGCCCAGCAGCAAAGUCUCUGAAGCCAAAGUUCAACCUCUUUGUGAAGCAGGCGUCUGCCAGCGUUGGGAUGGCUGUGCCACACAUUGAUGUAUGGAUAUUUUCUGGUUGCCUGCCCCGUUAUACAUCAUUGUUUUUGUUUUAAGGAUCCGUUCAACUAGUUCCUAGUUUGAUGUUUUUUUUUCCUGUUUACAGAUCAAGACUGUCAUCGCUUUGACAAUGUUUUUUAAAGCAUUUGGUGGUCUCCUUUUCCUCAUCAGUAGCUCCCUUGGAGCGGUCGUACUGGUGCGUACUCUUCUUCUGCAGGCACUAUAUCAAGAAUCAUCUUAUCGUAAGGGGGUAUCAAGAUGCAUACUGUUGCGUCUGCCAUUAAAUGUAGACUUGCAGCACCCUGUCUUUUCAAAUCAAACUAAUAAAAAGGAAGUACUGUUGGCAUGCCAUUUAGGUAGUUUUAAACGUUCUAGUGUGUCCAUUUCACUGGCUGUACAAUGCCAAAUCUGGCAUUGUUGCUGCUUCGAUGUUUGAUCUUCAUACAUUUUGCUUCUGCAAUAUCCUGUUGUAGCAUCUUGACAGUGGAAUGCUUUAACACUAACCUUCCUGAAAGAUUCCAGAUGUGGUGUCAGGUUAUUCUUAUUGUUUAACCACUUGAUAGGCUCAUGUCUGUUGAAUUUGUACAGCUGAUUUUCUGUAGCCAAAGUUAUGUGUUUAUGUUUAUAUUUAUUGUUUGCAUUGUUAUCUAUAUGUGACAGUGCAACAGUUCUUUGAGACAUUAAUCCAUGAUAACUGGGCAUAUCUGUUCAUAUGCUUAUAUAUAAAGAAACCAAAUAUAUAUUCUGUCUUCUUAUACGGAACCAAAUAUAUUUAAUCCAUGUUAAAAUGAUUGUGCAUUUAUUAUGUUAUAGUUUUGAGACAUUAAUCCAUGAUAACUGGGCAUAUCUGUUCAUAUGCUUAUAUAUAAAGAAACCAAAUAUAUAUUCUGUCUUCUUAUACGGAACAAAAUAUAUUUAAUCCAUGUUAAAAUGAUUGUGCAUUUAUUAUGUUAUAGUUUUGCCGUUGCUCUUUCUCCCCCUGUUACUUUUCUUUACUUCUUUUUUGGAACAUGGAAAUACUGAUGUAGCUCACUUGUGCAGCUUGUUUACUUGGCAUUCAUAACACCUGUCGUGUACGACUUCUACAACUACGAGGUCGAGUCACAGCAAUUCGUUAAGCUCUUCACCAUGUUUUCACAGGUUUGUCACACAGAAUCUCACUUGGCGAGAAGCUUCAGCUUUGAACCAUUCCAUCACUAUCUGUCACCAGAUGUUCUAACUCGGAUUCCCCCCCCUCUCUCUCUGCUCAGAACCUCGCUCUCUUCGGCGCGCUGCUCUUCUUCCUGGGAAUGAAGAACUCCAUCCCAAGGAGGCACUCCAAGAGAAGGGCCGCAAAGGCCAAGACAACCUGAAGCCAGGCAAGGGAUCGUGGUAGGAGGGAGGGGAAACUAUCAGUAUGGAAACUCGUCGUGUUUUACGUAUACUUUUGGAGCAGUACAUGUCCCGCUUUUUGCCCAUAGAAUCUGUGAGCUGGGGGCCUGCAGGAUUCGAUAUGUAGGAGUUUUAAGCCGUCUUGCUCAGUUCUGUUUUUCGGUUUUAUCGCGGUGGGUUCUAUGCCUUGGUUCUGUAGUCCUGUGUUUUGCUACAGAAAACUGCUUGUCUCCAUUCAGUAUCAGAGCAUACAUUCUUGACUGCUGUUUCGAGCCGUGCCCUUCUCGAUCCCUAAAUGCAGAGAUGUUUUUUUUAUUUGCGGGAAAAAAAAUGCACAGAUGUUGUGCGUUCUACUCCCUUCGUUCCUAAACAUAAGACCUUUUAAAGAUUGUACUAUAAACUACAUACGGAUGUAUAUAGACAUAUUUUAGAGUAUAGAUUCACUCAUUUUGCUCCGUAUGUAGUCUCCUAGUGAAAUCCCUAAAAUGCCUUAUAUUUUGGAAUGGAGGGAGUAAUAAUUUCUUAUUAUUAGUCAAGAUAAACUUGAUAAGUAGAUGCAUUCAUCAAGGCAAAUUUAGUGAUUUCUGUACGUGGUUGAUCCAUUCCACAGGAUUUUGGUUCGUGUUUGGAGUUUGGACCCAAAAUUUCAUGUGAAUGUUGAGGUAGAGAUAAGUGGUUAAACAAAUGGUAAGAUAAAUACUACUCCCUCCGUUUUUAAAUUUAAGUCUUUCAGAGGUUUCGGGGACUACAUGCAGAUGUAUAUAGACAUGCUUUAGAGUGUAGAUUCAUUUAUUUUGCUCCGUAUCUAGUUCUCUAGUAAAAUCUUUAAAAUGACUUAUAUUUAGAAACGGAGUGAGUAGUCGAUUACAUAAGCUGGGUUAUCAUAAUCUACCACAAUACCAACUCAGGCAAGGCCUGUGCAUGGCGUUAUUCCUCAUACAUAUAUACGGAGUAGUUCUAUGCAUAUGGCAUAACAAACUACUUAAAACUGUUUCCGGCCCAGAAGUAAACAGAGCAUCCAAAACGAAAGAGCAGCACACCAAGCACCCAACACAAUUGCUGCGGCGACUCGACUCGACUCCAAGAUGGCGACGUUCUACUUACAAACUACUCGAAUUUUACAAGGCCGGCACCGGCACAUGUUGUAUCCUGUGCUAUGAUGAUCCAAGCAAAUUCAAAUAGCCGAGAAAAUCGGGCCGAAUUUGGAUUCAAACCGAGCGUCCAACCCAACGCAAUUACAGGAGGAUAGCAAAGGGAAAACCACUUCCGAUAACCAGAUCCGUUGGAUGCCGAUCGGACGGCCGAGUCACCUCCUCCCUCCCCCCUAACCCGCGGCUGGGGAGCACAGCCAAGCCCCCGCUCCGCCGCGAAGAGCCGCCGCCUUCCACUCCGGCGCCCCCCUCCGGCGCGACCUCCAGCCUCCGACGACGACCAGAUGGUGAGCUCCCCUAGCCCCCCCCCNUCCCUCCUUCCCCCUCCGGGCCGCCCGAAUCCGGCGGGCUCGGUUCGCCCCGGGGAGUAAACCCCUGCCGAGAAACCCUAGCGAGUUGCUGCUCACGUUUGUGGUUCUGUGACUUCCGCAGGACUACCUCAAGACGGUGGUGCCGUCGCAGCUCUUGGCCGAGCGCGGCUCCAGCCUCGUCGUCAUCAACCCAGGUGCGCCCCGCCGGAGCGAAUCCCCCAAUCCCCCGCCUGUCCUCUAGAUACGCGCUUUCCUUCCCCUGUUUGUUCCGACGAUUCACGCCUGCUGGAGUCCAAACUGGGUGUAAAAAACAACGUGUUUAGUGUAGUUCGAGCUGAUUUCGCGAGGCUCAAGCCCCCGGCGAAGAUGCAUAGUGUGAAUCAGAAGGUCGAUCUUGUGCGAUGCUACCCGUUGAAAUUCUAGAAGUGAGAUGAAUAUGUGUGAAGCAGGAAUGUCGUCUUCUUAUAUGCCGGUAAUUUUUGCCUUGAGACAUGGUGGUUGUCACCUGACCGAGGACCCUUCCUUUUCGCAGGCUCCAUGAACGUGCGCAUGGGGUUCGCUAGUCAGGACGUGCCGUUCAAUAUACCGCACUGCAUUGCCCGGCACAAGAACGACGCGCCGAAGCUGUCGGUGCGAGACCAGGUGAUGCGAAUGCAGGGGUGGUCCCCCCCCCCCUCCCUCCCCCUCUGCUGGUCCUGUACCUGCAUUGGAACAUCGUUGGCGUAAUCUUCAGUGUAUGACUGUCGUUUUGGUUUGCAGAGGCUCAACUGCCGUGCUGGGUCGACGCACAAUGCAGAGCGGGAGCGGGCGUAUGGUAUUGUAAGAAUCUACUUCUCGCAAUUACUUUGGAUCAUGUGCGCGGCUCGAACUAAUCAGGACUGAGUCUUGCAGAUUGCUUCAAUGCUCAAAAUCCCAUUUUUGGGUGAAGUAUCGCCUUCAGAGAACCAACCAUUACCUCCUAAGGUACUGUGCACAGUCUAUGUGAUGAAUACUUUGCAUACCUGUUUUUGCGACAGUAGGAUAUAUUGCAUUUUGCCAUCCGGGUUAAUCUUUUUAUAUAUUAAUUGGGAAAAGUAUCACCCCAGAUGUAGGCUUUGUCUACUUGAAUUUGAAUAGCGAUGUCCAACUAGUUUAGAGUGUGGGCAAUUUAUUUAUCUUUUCUUACACAUCGAUUACUUAUCAAUAGUUAUUCUUAUGCUUCUCGGGGAGGUGUUUGCUCCAUCUUAUCUGGUUGCACACUGCUAUACUUGGGCAGUUAAAAGGAGAACUAGCUACUUAGAGCAAUUUACCAACAAAACAGUGGCCAUGUGCCACAUCUCACUAAAUUAGUUCUAUUUUUAGAAUGUGAAAAAUGUUUUGUCAGACCGUAAUUAGUUGAUCUGCAGUAUGCUGCACCAUGAUAAUAUUAUGAUAACGAUCCAGUUCACUACGGGACAUACAGCAAGUGGGAGGAAGGGAACUUUGGGACUUGUUUGCCCUAUAGUUUAAGCUUAUUUGAUAAGCUUGUGGCAUUGAGGCUUAUAAGCCGAGUUUACCUAGGAUUUAGGGCUUAAACUAUCAUGAAGUUUGUUGUCAUUAUAGUUUAUAAGUUCAACAUACUACAGUAUGUGGUAAACCUAGCUCAUCCAGCCUCUUCCAAAUUUAUAGAAUUAUGUUUGAAUUACCUAUUGCCUAAGUUUGGAAAUUGUUGCUAUUUCUUGCAAUCUUACAAAUCCUUAUUGAAACAAGUACGCCUGUUUGAUGUGUGCAAUAUAGACAAUGUUCAGGAUAUCGGUAACUGGUACCAUAUCGUCCAGGUGCUGCGUAAGGAUAAAUAGGCGAAUUUUCCAGUUAAUCAGCGAUAAAUCAGUUAAUCAGCUAUUCGGUGACCCACCGAGUAGCGAUAAACUGACCGAGAUGCUGAUUAACUGGCUGAUAUUUGGGAUAAUGAUGUAUUAUAUGAUUUUGCAUCAAUUUCCUUUUGUUUAGAAAGGUCAAAUCAUGGCCUCUGUUUGCUGAUGGGGUUAUAUUGACCACUUCAGAUGGGACGUCUUGAUGGUCUUUCUUCACAGCAAAACAAAGAUGAUAGUAUACUCACAUGGACAGAUGUGAUGGACAAAAGCAUCAAAACAUCCAUGUCAAUUGGUACUUUCUGAUCUUUUACUGAAGUGUACCUUCUUAUUUCCCCCCUUGUCCACUUUGGAGUCUUCUAUUGUUAAUAAAAAGGUUACAGGGUACUUAUGUUUUGGAUACAUUUUUUUUUUGUAGAAGGAAACUGUGUUUGUUUUUUGGUGUGACUUAUAUGUAGCACCUGCCCUCAGUGAGUUGUGGCCUGUGUCACUCAUAUGCAUUGUUGUGAUUGAUUUUGUACCACAUCAGAUUUCUCAUGCGUUUGGACUGCAUAUAUACAAAAAAGGAACGAUCUAGUAAAUCCACAUUAACCUAUUUCUGCGAAUCAUGGAUAAAAGCCUAAGUGAGUUGUUAUGUUUGUCUGUGCUUAUGUGGUGUUGGCGCUUUAGUCUAGACCUUGGAUGUUACAUUAUGACACAAUGAUUUUUUUUGUUUUGUGUGCUGGAGCUAGCUAGCUCUGAAGUUUCGAGGACUGAAAUUCUUAUGUUAGGUUAGCUGUUGCUUUGGUACGAGAUCCACAUAUUUUUUGUCCCGUCUCUUCUUACAUAUGGCAUGUAUCCAUCAGAACGAGAUCUCAUCAAUCACCAUGUUUUGUCUAGCUGCUUUAGAUUGUUCGAUGGGGCAUCAUACUAUUUUAAUUUUUUAAUGGAGUAGUUAUAUCAUGGAUUAUUUUCUCACUGCUUGCUCCUAUAAUCAGAGUUACUUAGUUAUGCUCUGUUCUUUCGGUUAUUAAGUAUUAACAGUAGAUUCAAAGAGCAGUUCUGUACCGCAUUAAAGUGUCAUAUAUUUCGGAGCAUUUUAUAGUAUCAAAAUAUUGACAACCCCUCAAAUUGGCCAGAAAGGUCAGUAAACAGUGACGCCGAUGAAGAUCCUUCACAAAGCACACCCGAUGAUGGUAACAAGCCCAACUCUGAAGAAAACAAGUAUAAGGAAAUGAUAUUUGGAGAGGAUGCUUUGAAGAUCCCUCCUUCUGCACCAUACUGUUUGGGUCGCCCGAUCAGGAGAGGCCAUUUUAAUAUUUCUCAGAAUUAUUCGUUACAUCAGGUAUGCCUCUAGAUUCCAUAUGAUCCUUAUCUUAAAAGAAUCAGCUAGUUAUAGUAAUAAGUGCCGUAACUAAAACCACUACACUUAUUAUGGAUCGGAGGGACUAUUAAACAACUUUGCCCUUUAAAUGGGAAGUUCAGUUUGAGUUCAUUGUCUGAGACUUUCCAUUGUUACACUGUCAGUUCUAUAAAUAUCUAGUAGGGGUGUAUUGUUUUGGCUCCACUGUAAUCAGUAUGGGGAAUGGUAUUUCUUGUAGCAUUGUUUUAUCAAGGGAAAAAUGUUUUGAAUCAGAUUUGUGACAGGAUUUUGGUCAAUCCGGUUGCAAAUAUGUACUGAAAUUUAUGGAAAACAGUAGUUGAGAGGUCUACUGAAAUGUACUGAAGAAGGCAAAUUCUGCCUAUUUCUUUGCGUGCAAAUUUUCCAUCACCCAAUCCUAAACAGAUCUUCAUGAAAAAGCUUCCGCUGCACCCUGCAUUGUCUAAAGGCACCAUAUUUACACGAAAGGGUUUACCUAAUUUUGCACCUACUUCACUGGUAAAACAUAAAAUUGAGCAGUUUAUUCUGCCGGUAAGGCAGUUAUUAAGUUUUAAAUAUAAAGUCUUGUGGUAUAAUAUUUUAGAGUAUCUAUAUUAGCUAAUGGAAUUGAACCAUGAAGUCCUUAUACUAACAACUGUGGAGCUUGGGUUCAAAGUUAAGAACUAAAAUUGUUCCAUAUUACUUGUUAUUCUUUGCCUUUAUAGUUUAUUUAUUUUACUGCAUUUGUUUGCUGCCACUGACGAACCAUAAAGAAAGACUAGGAAUUAGGUCAUGAGUUGUAAUCCUGGCCUACAUAUUAGAAAAUUUACAUUGAAAACACAGCUGGAUUGUUUUUUCUUGGUUGAAAUUGAUGGUAUCUGGCGCAGAAAGUGUUGGAGAAGAGAUGAUGCACAUGAUAACCCUGUGUUUCUAACUGGUUACCAAACCUAUGUGCGUCCAUAUUAUUUUUCCUUAUAUAUAGCAUCAUAAUGGUAGAUGAUUAGGAAAAACAAACAUUGGCCGUUGCAGGUUUUAGAAGAUUUACGAACUAUUUGGAAUUGGAUGCUGAUAGAGAAGUUGCACAUCAACCCAAAGGACAGACAUCUGUAUUCUGCAAUUCUUGUUCUUGGGGAAACAUUUGACAACCGAGGUAUUUCUCUUUUCAUGUAAUACUGCCUGUGAUGUGUAGACGUAUGUCAUGUAGUGCUGCUCAUAUGCGCCGCCGCAAGGCUGAGUAUCCUUUAGGGCUGGUGACAUGAUCCUCAGGUGGAGCAGGAUAUCCUUAGUAAUAAUUAGGUAGUUAGUUCUUAAGUUUGUUCACUUGCCUUAUCCUUGAAAUUUGCUCAAGCUUUCCUCAUCUCCGAAACCUAUAUAUAAGGGAGGCUGCCAUUGUAAUCUCAAGAAACCAUCAUAUUGAAGGACAUUAAUCCAAUCCCAUGGCUGGCCGAUUGUCAUCUUGGCAUGGUAAUUUACACUGAUGUGGAAAAAAGAUCACCUCGUUUUGCUUUACCUUCAAUUUGGAUGUCAACGCUGUAGUUAUCCCACAUAUACAACAGCAAUGAAUACCUUUCACUAUUAUUUUCCCUAAAUUACACGGUACUAAACAGCAGUUGCAGGAAGAAAAAUGCAGAAAUACAUCGUGUAUGUGAAGAUCACAGUUUCCAGCAUUUGACUAGGUGUCAAUGCCAUGUUUUCUGCCAAUACUGAUAUUUAUGUGUAAUUCCUUUUUUCUGAACUCCUAACAACUCAAAUCUGUUCAUUCAACACGAAUUUCAAAUGCUGGGCAGAACACACUUUCCUAGCAACGAGCGAAAUCCACACCGUUAGUUCUUCAAUAGAUUCUUUCAUGAAAUCCAUGACCCAUUACUCCGUUAGUUUAAUAGCCUUGAAUUGAUGAUUCAUAUAGGAAAUCUUGAGUACAUACUGUUUGCUUUAUCUUUUUUCAACACCUUCUACAGUUCUAGUGCAAAGUGUAUGUUCCACUGCAUAAGGAAGUUUUCUUAUUUUUUGAAGUUGUGAUUUUUUUAAUAUAUCCAUCCAUCAGAAAUGAAAGAGAUGCUGUCCAUUGUACUUUGCGAUUUGGGAUUUAGCACUGCAGUGGUACAUCAGGUUCGUCCCCAAUCGUCCAUUUAGCAUUUACUUCCUAUUAAGUUUUGAAUGCACGAUUUGUUUCUCCAUUUGCAAUUGCUAAGCAAAGUAAUUGGACCGUUCAUCCCAAAAUGGAACAUCUUUCCAGCAUACUGGGAUAGUUUCCUCAAUUCUGAGACUGUUGUACUAUGCUAAAUUGCUAACCACUAAGAAGUUGUAUUUACCGAGUGGAGUGCGAUCUGGCAUUAGUACAUGAUGCGGUCGCCUUUAAGGAAUUGCUCUGAUGAAGUAAUUUUACUCGUGCGUCGAUGUCUAUAUUCUUUUUCUUUUUACAUAACUACAUAAUGCUGGCAAGGGGGAGCCCUUCAUCGACAUGGGCCAAUCCAUCACUGUAGAGUGCCAGAACUGUGUGGCCGUGUAGGGUCGCCACUGUAGUGAUGCCAUGUCGAUGCAGUCGUGCCGUCGUGGAUGACGCGGUCGAUGUCGUCGUCGUGGCGCGGUCAUUGCCGCCGUCGGGGUCGCGCCUUGCAGAAAAAUCUGUUAGAGGACGCUAGGUGUCCAUCUUGUGGACGAGGGGUGGCGGCGUGUUGACGAAGAUGUUGAUGAAGACCUUGGCAAUGAAGCGUCGGCGAUGGCGUCGUAGCAGCGUGUCGACGAUAAUGUGCCGCUUGAAGGCGUCCCUUGCGGCGACCAAGUGUCGAUGCGGUGUCGCGUCGGAGAAGUCGAUGAAGAAUUGCAUCACUUUUCACACCGGCCUGACGUGUGGAUGAUGCGUGUUGAUGUGGCUUCUCAAAGAUAUGCUCGACAAAGAUUUUUUUUUCCAAACCAUGUAGUCGUACAGCUCAAUGUCGUGGUGCAGGGUCGGUGUAGAUCGCUCGUCUUGAUGCAGAUGCUACGGAGGACCGUUUGGCCGCGGGUACCGCUCCUGCGUCACCCAUCAAUGCGCGUCAGGAGAAGGCACUUGUGGGAGUCCAAGUCUUGCUGCAUGCAUCUCCUCGUAGGAGAUUGAUUCAUAUGGCCAUGUGCAUGAUGCCUAGAUGGAUACGUUAUCAUGCAUGGGCGUACCUACGCAUGGCUGGAUGAAGGCUCUGCUGGUCGCUUCACAGGAUGUUGUGGCGUUGAUGCAGAUCCGAUGGCAUCCCUGUUGGAGAAGCCGACGGCUACCCUUCUGGAACGCGCUCGCUCGAUGCCUGCUGGUGCGCGACGUACGAUGCCAGCUGAUUGGCGUUGUAGCAUCUCGUCCCCUGGUGAGGCCGUUUGGUUCGACGAUGAACGUCAUGUCCAUUGGCUGGAACGUUGUAGCAUCUCGUCUCUGACGAGGCCGUUGCUUCGAUGAUGAACGUCAUGUCCAGCAGUUUGAAAUCUAUCUGUAAGUGGAUGCAAUCUGGUUGCAUGGGGCUCGCCGCGUACCGGCCGUGGAGUUCCCGGAGACCAUACCUACACCGGCUCGCGUUGAACAGAUUGCUUGGAGGAGCGGCUGCUGCUUGAUGAGCGCGCGUGCCUGGAGGUCGUGUGGGUCGAUGGAGCCGGGUCGUGUAGGCGUGCAGAUGGAGUCUGUGUCGGCCGGGAGAUCCGCGUGCGCGAGUCCGCCCUCCCGUGAUCGGGACACAUGGUCUUCGCUGCUGUUGCCUUGUCCCCGAUGCAAUUUGCAUCGCCUUCACCACAUAAGCCGGGUUGACUGCACGCCGUCAAGGUGGAUUUGCACCGAUUCUCACCGGAUUGAUAGAAGGUCGUGGAGAUCUAGGAAUUUAUAUGUGUGGCUAAAGAAAAGAAAAUUGAUCUAAUGGAAGUUUCGAAAUUUUGGUCUAAUCUAAGGAAGUAUGUAAGCUAGAGGAACCGAUCUAAUCUUUGAUUGAUCCGGUGCCGCGCCCCCGGGGAGAGAAGAUUAAUCUCCCCGGGGGCGGCACGCUGUGGAAGUGGUAGAGGAACCUAGGAUCGGCGUCGUGAGACUAACCGCUCUGAUACCAUGUGGAAAAAUAUAGGAUGGCUGAAUAUUGUUUUGUUGUGUGUUGUAUUGAUCUAACCCUUGUAAGGGUAUAUAUAGGAGUACAUGAGGGGUAGAGGCUUGGAGUACAAGACAAGUUACAUGUGGUUUAAACUAAUUCUAUCUCUAUCUCUUUAUCUCUAACUUAAACCCAAUUAUACUUCUAACAAAGAGUAAAGAGAAACGGCCAUGCUACAACUUGACACUGCUUGCCCGGUGUCAACUAUUCUGGAUUAACACCAUUCAUGAAACCAUUUUGGCAUUCCAUAUUUUGUUAGCAGCUUGGUACCUUAAAUCAGGUACUCAUGAAACCAUUCAUGCUAUUGGGUUAAUACUAAUAUUUUGCACCUAAAGGCUGGAUUUUAACUUUCAUGUUUUAAAUUUGGUGUGCUGUACACUUGGAGUUGGCCCAUUUCUGGAGUUGUUCUCAUGCUGGUUGCCUGUUUCUAAUUUUAGCUUAUCUCUACUAAUAUACUACUAUAGUACCAUUUGACAGUUAAGUUUAAUGUAAUAUUACUAAUGAGAAACUAGAACUUGAUACCUUCAUUUUGGUUGAUAUAGUCCACUUUUCAGACUCUUAGACUUUUUUUUAAUCUAGAAUACCUUUCCAGACUAUUGACUUGUAGAGACAUAACCAAGCUCUUGUAUUUGAUGAUUCACAAAUUGAAACAUGAAGAAAAUUGAGCUUCCUUAUUUACUCUGCUUAUGUUAAUAUUUAAUUAGGAAGCUCUAGCAGCGGCAUUUGGGAAUGGGUUGUCGACAGCUUGUGUGGUCAACAUUGGUGCUCAAGUUACACAAGUAGUUUGUGUUGAGGUAAUAACCAUAGUACUUCUAUAUUUCUUUCAAACCACUAAGAAAUUUAGAUAUUAUCAUAUUAAUGUAUGAUCUACCCUAAAUGUUUCCAGGAUGGAGUAGCUUUACCCCACACAGCUUUGGCGCUCCCAUAUGGUGGAGAUGUAUGUUCUCAACUGUUCUCUUUAACGUAGACAAAUAUAUUUCUGUUACUUGAGCAAUCUGUUGUUCAUGGUCAUUACAUCUGUAUAAUUUCGUUUCAUGGUAGAAAUCUGCUAUUCUAUUUUUUCAAGUUAUUAUCUACUAUCAUGCACCCAGUCCAUUUUUCUCUGUCAGAACAACAAAUCUUUGUUAGGUUUCGUCUCAUGUGACUGUUGUGUACAAACUUUAUGUCAUGCCACUUUUUUCCCGAUCGGAAGAUAUGCAUAUUUUAGUUCUUUCAUCAUGUUCUUAGUAUAAUAGUAUCAUCUUACAAAUACGAGCAACAAUCUAUUCCUUUCGAGUAGUUUCUCAGUUGAGAUUUGGCUGUACUUUGGUUUUGAAAAAUUAUGCCACUGACAUUGCAAAGGUACGGAGAGUAUCAUGACAACCAGAACUCGUUGGCAGUGCACUUGGCACAACAAGUCGUUUAUGGGGGGCCUGAAUCCUUAAGUGGCAAUGAGAGGGAGGGAAGGCCCCGAGAGUAUAUGAGCGUGGGUGGGUGUCAGGGGUAGAUUUGGCUUUAAUAUGAGAAGUGGCUGAACCAUUACAUUGACAAUAUUUCCGAUGUUUUUUGGGACUUUCUGAUGACACUGAUUUUCUAAGGGCAACCUCAAUGGAAUAUUUCUGUUAAUAUCAGUCAUUGUGAUGUCACCUUAGUUAUAACAUGAUUGCUGGGUGGUAUUGUCGUCAGUUGUCAAGUGCUCUUUUUACGGAGGAUCUCCCUCGAGGCUACAGGAUAGAUAGUCUGAUGAUCAUAUUCCCACUUUACUUUGUAUAAUUGCAUGACUUGCUUUUAUGGUUUUUGAACGUCAAUUGCUUGUGAUCUAUAUUAUUAUUUGAGAGUGGAUUUUUAGCUCCCGGGUGCCUAGGCACCCUCUAUGAACAGUAAAAUCGAAAAAAUAGAAAUCAAAAUCAAAAAAUUCUGAAACUUUGCAGCAUCAAUGAUGAUGAAACUUUGUAGGUGUUUGCAAAUUUUCAUGCCAAAAAACUAUUCGUGGAGCUCUACACACGAAAAAGAUUUCAGUGCUUGAAGUUUUGAGCACUUUUAGCAUCAAAAUCUGAAACUUGUUUGUACAUAUUUCUCUACAAGAUAUUUUGGCAUGAUAAUUUGCAAAAAUGUACAAAGUUUGAUCAUCUUUGAUGCUGCAAAGUUUCAGAUUUUUUUAUUUAUUUUGUUUUCUAUUUCUUUUGAUUUUACUGUUCAUAGAAGGUGCCUAGGCACCUGGGUGCUGUCACACCUUUCUCUUAUUAUUUUUAUUAUGUUUCCUUUUGUUACAUCCUUUGCUAUUUUCAUUUUCUUUUGUAGGACAUAUCCAGAUGCCUACUUUGGGUUCAACAACGUCAUCGCACAUGGCCAAAUUUUAAAACCGAUCCCAUGAAGAAGCCUAUAGAUAUGCUAAUGCUGAACAAGAUAAAAGAGGGAUAUAGCCAAAUAAGGGUAAGUGGCUUACUCUAAGCUUUACUAAAUCUUGAUAGCUCGUAUCUGUAAAGGAUUUGAUUGUUGGACAGUCUGCUUAUGUUUUAUUUUGAAAGUUUCCCUGUGGAAAGAAAGAUUUGUGUCGUCCGCGCAAAGAUCAUUAUAGCACUGUUGUACAUUGAUUAAUUUCACCUGAAACUGUAUACAAAGAGGAUAAAUUGCAAUAACAUAUGCAUCUCCUUUCGUGCGAAUCAUUUAUACACAUUUUCUCCAGUGCAUGGGACUAGAGCACUUCUAGAAUCAAUACGUUCAUAAGCGGAAACCUUUUCUCUAAAUCUCUUUGUGUAUGAGCGCUGCCCUAUCUUGUCAAAGCAUAGUAAAUUAGUAGCCGACCUUGUGGCAUUCAUACAUGGGGCAUAGGAAGAUGAAUAAUCUAAGAUGACUUGAUAGCAUUGGAUUAUAAUUUGCCGAUGAUAUUGGGCAUAUCCCCUGUUUCUUAUUUAUGUGUAGGUCGCUGAAUCCUCUAGGAAGACCAAGAGAUCUGGUUGGAGCUAUCCUAUUUGCCUAAGUGCUGCUCAUGUGCAUUUGUUUUUAGUGUUGCUACCUUUCCAUUUUCAGAUCCUUCCUUGUUGUCCUCUUAGUCAUGAAGAAAUACAUUUACAUAAGUUUCAUAUAUUUACAUAUUAUAUAUACCAACACAGUUUGUGUGUGUUGAACAAAAUGCAAAUGGACAAAAGACAAAACUAGUAUAUGUAGAAACCAGAAAGAACUGGAGUCUUUUAGUGGAUGCUUGAACCCAUAACAUCCUACCUACUCUGAACUUUAUUUUUCUUAAUUCUUAAGCUGAAAUGAUUAUUUUUUGUUGAAGUAGAAUGCUUCCCUUGAACUUAUUCUAGUAUUUUUCUUUUCCGCAGAGCGGGAGCUAUGAUGCUGUUUCUGUUGUUCAUUCAUAUGAGCAUGAAAAGUCUGUUGGGCAUCAGAAGACAAGGCUGUCAGCUCUCAGUGUAAUUUUUUUAAACCACUUAUUCUCUUCUUCUUUUGUCUAUUUUUUGGGCUGAGGGUGUGUUUUGAAAAAGUGCAUGACUUUUUUUGUACUUCCUCCAUCUCGGUUUAUAAGGCAUGCGCGUCGUUCUAGGUUGACAAUUUAACUAGCUAAAUAUGUACUCCCUCCGUCCCAAAAUAAGUGACUCAAAUUUGCACUAAUUUUAGUACAACGUUGAGUCAUUUUUGAGUCACUUAUUUUGGGACGGAGAGAGUAUUAUAUUUGAUGAAAAAUAUAUGUUUAGAAACUACAUCUUCUUAAGAAUCCAAUGAUAUACUUUUGGUGAAAUAUAAGAUAUAACUCAUAUUUAGCUAGUCAAAUUGAUGACCUAGAACUGAGCGCAUGCCCUGUAAACCGAGACGGAGGGCGUAUCUAUUUCUUCUAGCAAAAAAGUAAGACAUGCAGGCACUCUCCCUCCCUCCCUCGCCCCUUCACUCUCUAUUAGUAAAAUCUGUAGUGGUGAUUGAGUUGUAGUUGGAGAGUAAUUAUAUGCUGUAGGUGAUAUAUCUACAAAUUCAAAUUUGUUUGUGAUAAAAUAGGUUCCUCCUAUGGGGCUUCUUUAUCCUCGGCUUCUCAUUCCAGAAGAGUUCCCUCCACCUCCCCGACCUUGGUGAGACUUUGUUCUCUGCUUUAGUGAUUGUGCCCUUUGAUAUGGUGAUUGCUCCAGACAAGAUAUGUUUAUGUUUACAGGUUCCAAGAUUGUGAUGACAUGCUGGAGGAUACUUGGCAAACAAACGACGGUCUUUCUGGAAAUGGUGGUCUUGGUGCAUGGGACAGUUAUCAAAUGCUUCCCACCAGAGUAAAGAAGUUUGAUAAUAUCGGUCUCGUAGAAGCCAUUGUCAGCAGUGUUCUUUCAACAGGUAGUCUCUUUGCACAUUAUCUAGCUUCCCUGAGAGAAUCUUUUCUAACAACUUCCUACAACAGGACGUGUUGACCUCCAAAGGAAGCUAUUCUGUAGUAUUCAGCUGGUAAAGUAUCAGUGUCGUUUUUCAUAUCAAUAUUGCUCUAUGAUGCAAGAAGCAAUAAUUGAGAGGAAUGCUCUUUGCAGGUUGGUGGCACAGCUUCAACAGCAGGUCUUGCACCAGUUCUCGAACAAAGGUUAAUUGUUACGUUCUUCUGGCAUUAUUUAACGGAAGACUACUGGAAUAACUGCGCUAAGGAAUAGAAGUGUGCCACCCUAUGUAGCUACAAGUGUGCCAAGCAAUUGUUCUGAUCCUUUUUGCAUUUACUAGUUAUUAUUAACAAGUGUUUGUUGAAAGAUUUUUUGUAAAGAUGAAUAGCACAGAGCUGCUGCAAGCCUGCAAUAAAAAAAGUGCCAAUGUGGCUCCUGUGUUUUUGGAGAAAAUACUAAUGACACUUGGAUUUUGUUUCAACAUAAUGUCUUGGAAACGAACAAUAAAUUUAUUGAUCUAUUUUUCUUUUCUUUUUGAUCAGGGUUCUUAAUACUAUUCCAUCGAAUCAACCCGUCGAGAAAGUUGAGGUAUGUCUUCUUGCAAGGAUAUGCAUCCAUAUCUUUUUAUAAAUUAGAAUGCACACUCCAUUUCUUGAAAUUAACAUACCUGGAUUGAUUGUGUGAGGUUUAUAUCUCAGUUUUACAUUAUACCGUAAUUUAGACUCGUGAUUUAUUUGUCUUGGCUUAACAUCUCAUUUUAAAUUCAUAGGUACUACAAUCAAGGAGGAAUCCAUUGUUUAUCCCAUGGAAAGGUGGUGUGGUAAGUGCUAUUUAUUUUGAAUUUGGCUAUCAUUUGUUGAAGCUGGUGUGUCUUGCUCAUUCCUUUAUGUCUGUCCUUUCUUGUGCUCUUAUAUUUCGGGUCCCUAAAUCCUACUUUACGCUUGGACAGAUUUUGGGCGUCCUUGAUACUAGCCGUGAUGCUUGGAUCCAUAGAGAAGAUUGGAUUAAAAAUGGCGUUCACGUUGGGAGUGGCAGAAAAUAUAAGGAUUCCUAUUUUCUUCAGUCGCAACUGAUGUGUUACUACAAUUCAUAAUAGGUAAUCUUUCUUAUUGCCUGCUCAGUUUCUCCAGAUUGUAUCGUUGCAUCUUCAUAUAGUGUUAGUGUGUUAAUAUGGAUGUCAGGAUAUGUAUAUUGGAUGGUCUGCCCUUUUUUUCUGUAAGAUGCACACUUAAUAAAAAGUUAUUGUAUAAUUGAAGGUCCGGUCCUAAGAGUCUGAAUAUCAAAUGAGCAUUGAGACACGGGAUGUGAACAUAUCUGCUUUUUUUCUUCUUAAAUUUUUUGAAGCUUUUAGUUGAAAUGGUUAUCGUGCAAGCUAUCUAUCUACUGCCAAAUUAUAAGACACAUAAUUUGCAUUUUAUUCUGUAGGUGGUCUGCGUAGGUGUCGACUAUCUUGAGCUGCAAUUGUCGGUGUAAUCUCGGAUAGUUGAGCAAGGCGGAACUUCAUCUAUGUCGAGGUUUGUCAAGGGACAUGGAGAAGAGAUUUAGAUGAUGAAGGCCCGUCUUCUGCCUACCCUUUCAUUCAGAACUAGAAAUGGCUAGUAAAAUACAUGGAGAUGAGAUUCAUAGAUUUAGUGGUGCCAUGUAAACACAUUCUCUAGUUUCAGGGUGAUUUACUACCUGUAACUUGUAAAUGGGGGAUCAUUAGUAAAACACAAAGCCUCUUGAUGCUGUUCCGGAUUAUCUAACAGUAUUAAUGACUGUUCAGCCAGAUUAAUUAUUUGUUCUGAGAAGGCAAAUAUGUGCACCGGAUUAAUUAAACAUCUCCUGUUUGCAUUUGUACACUUAAUCAUGUGGUUGCAAUUUUAACCUUACUGCCAGAGGCAGCCUGACCACAUGAUCUAGGCUGCCAGUCUCUGACGCCCUGCUCACAAUCAGCGCGAAGUGUAGCAUGGGCUCGUUGGCACUGAUCAUGCUCCAGGCCGCCCAUAUCUGGUCGCCGGGCGUGAGCACGUUCGUCGGCGUGGACUCUGGCAUCGACCUCGUCCGGGUACAUUGCCUUGUACACGGCUAAUCUGAGUAUAUAGAAGCGAGAACAAAAUGUAGCUAUUCCAAAUUGUGUUAAAUUGCAACAUUGUAGCGGUGAACAAAACUCAAGUUGCAGUUGGCAUUGAGGUAGAUUACAAUUUCCAUUUUGAGUAUAUGUAUGUCUUUACCUUGCACUUGGUGCCAUUCCGCUUGCGAAGCCAUACAUUGCGCCACCGGUACCCCACGGCAAUCGAAGCCACAUGGCUACAAUAAUAAUUCAGACCACUUAUGUCAUUGUAUCAGUCUUGAGAAAUCAAGAAUGCGCGUGUUAAUCAAGAUGAAGGAUCUAUUUCCCGCAAAAAAAAAGAUGAAGGAUCAAAGCAUAACAUCAAAGUCGUUUUUCUUGCACACAUUUUUCCCAUACCACCAACAUUUAGCAGAGUUCGACUGUCAUAAGGAUAUCCAAACAUAAGAUCCGGUUCAAACAUAAAAGGCAAGUCUCUAAACGUCAGUGCCGCCUAAUGCUAAUGGAGAAUGCACUCUGGUGGGCAUGGCUAUCUGGCAGCGCCUGAAGAUCAAUUCUGACGGUACAAUGACAUAAGUACAAGGUAAAUUACGUGAUGCCGCCUCAAGAUAGCCCUGUCCGCUGUCGAUCAAUUCCGAUCAUCACGUCAAGUUUCAUUUGAACACUUUCAGAAUAUAGUACCCGCUUUCAGAAAAUUCUUGCCAUAGCUUUCAGAAUUUGAAACUUAGACAAUUAUCAAAACUUUUGGAGUUAUAUAUAUUUUUAACAAUAUAAGUUAUGGAAUUUUGACUUCACUAUAUUUUGAACUUGCAGAAUUUUGAGAAUUCAGAAAAGAGAUGCCCUCCCCGCUGCCGCCGCCAUCGUGUUUAUGCCGCCACACGCGGUCGGGGAGGCCGAGGAGCACUAGUAGAAAAUGAGGCUUUCGGCCGCAGCCCCAAAUCACAUUAGCCCUGGGUCGAAAUAAAACCGAGAUCAAUGCCAGGCAUUGGUCCCGGUUCGAGCUGCCAGAGCCUCGCGGGGCAAAAGUCCUGGUUUGGUUCGAGGCAUUAGUCCCGGUUCGUGCCAAAAAUCAGGACUAAAGAUCCAGCAACUGAUACGUGGCGUGUCGCGGAGCAUUACUCCCGUUAGGGGGAUGGAACCGGGACUAAAGAGAUGCCCACUUUCUCCUCUCUGGCUGUGUGAGGUGUGCAUGCCAUGCUCUUGCAACCCUUCUAUGCCAUGCACAUGAGGUGUUCGAUGAAAUGUCCGAGACACACUUAAGCUUUCUCCUCUCCAAGCUCGACAUCUUCAAGCUCCAUUUUCCUCAAGAUUUGUCUAGGUUUGACGGUGCACCAACUACACAAGUGUUCUAAAGGUUAGCUACUUCAUCCUUUCAUCUCUCACUGCUAGUUUAGCUCAUUUCAAAUGCUCUAGAAGUAGACUGGUUUGUGGAUUUUAGUGUAGGUGUGUAUGUGGGAGUUCUUUUGAUUUAGAUGCAAAAUUUGAGCCCAAAUUAACUUUUUAGAGUCUGCACAUGUGUAGGGUGCCGUCCCGUGCCUGUCCUCACCGUUGUCGAUCGCCCGCGCCGAUCUCGUUGCCAGCACCACCAUGGUGAGCCUCUUGUUCUUAUCUUCUUUUUAAAAGAUUUUUUUUCUUAUUUGUAUGAUUUAGACAAAUACUUGUAUAAAUUACUUAUUAUUAUUAUUUUUUGUUAUUAUAUAGUGCGAUGGUUUUGGUAUUCGCCUCCAUCGGUCCUCGUCCUGUCUAUGAUUCGGAUGUGGUAUAUAUUAUCUUUUAUAACUAUUUGUUUUAUUUAGUGUUUAUGACAAUUAUGACGACCAACGUGACAUAUAUUUUUUAAUCUAGGAGGUAUGUGAACCGGAAAUUCCAACCGACAUAGAAAUUCUUGUCGAGAAGUUAAAUUUGGUUGAAAAAGAAAAUAAUUACUUGAAGAAAAAAUUGAAAAUAAUUGAGGAGAAGAAUAUGGAAGUGAAGUUGCAUGUUGCCGAUGUCGUCGAUGAUCACAAGAUGAAGAUGGAUGCAAUGCGGUUGAAGAUGAAUGCAAUGCGCUUGAAGAUUAGAAAUAUUAGAAAAUAUGCCAUUGAUAAAGAGACUUGGUAUCAUUGUGUGGGUCAAUUGUUACCUUAGUUGCGAUUUUGAUCGCAUUUGUUGUUGCAUUUAAAUGUUUUACAUAGUUGUAUGUUGUUUUAUGAGAGAACUUUAUGUAUUUAUUUUUGAAAUAAUAACAUUUGAUUACUACUGUACUUUGGUUUUAAUGUGAUGAUGAACUUGUAUAAAUUUUAUCAUUUCUCAAUUCAUGAUGUUCUGCAAUGGUUUUUUGAUAUACUUAAUUUCAUAAUACAGAUGAAUCGCCAAUGAAUGUACGGUGACCGGCGCACUUCGAAGUACAUUACGAAUCGGGAGUAAUGCCCGAGUCACACUUAAGUUCACAAAAAUGGUAUCCUUGAACGAUGUUAGCAACCUUAUCCUUUUCAUCUGUAAUUGAUACAAAAAUAUUGCAUGUGUCCAUGUACAGUGGUCAUUUUACUAUUCAUGUAUGAUGCAGAUCGAUGCAUGGAAGCGAUGGAUGUACGGUGAACGGCGCGGUUCCGGAUUUAUUGCAGGUCUGCAUAAAUUUAUCGAUGUGGCUAAGGCAAACAAAGUGAAUAAUUUUAUGCCUUGUCCAUGUGUUGACUGUCGAAACGUGAAGGAGUACUCUAGCUCGAAAACCAUUCAAGGCCACGGGCUUCGGAGAGGUUUCAUGCCCACAUAUUAUUGUUAGACCAUGCACGGAGAAAAAAGGGUUAGGAUUGAAGACAAUGAAGAAGAUGAUGAUGACAACUAUCCUAUGUUCACUGAAGAAUACGAUGAUGCUGCAAUGGAAGACAAUGAAGAAGAAGGAGGUGAAGAACAACCGACAUCAGAUGAGCCCGCUGAUGGUCUUGGUCGGGUCAUUUCUGAUGAAAAGAUACAAUGCGAUACAUACAAGGAGAAGCUGAAGUUGAAGGCCAUGCUAAAGGAUCAUAACAAGUUGCUGUACCCAAAUUGCGAAGAUGGCAGCACAAAGCUCGGUACCACACUGAAACUGUUGAAAUGGAAGGAAGAAACUGGUUUAUUUGACAAGGGAUUUGAGAAGUUACUGAAAAUAUUGAAGCCGAAGCUUCCAAAUUAUAACGAAUUGCCCAAGACUACGUACGAAGCAAAGAAGGCUAUCUUCCCUCUUGGAUUAGAUGUGCAGAAGAUAUAUGCAUGCAUUAAUGACUGCAUCCUGUACCGCGAUGAGAAGUACGAGAAUAUGGACAAAUGCCCGAUAUGCACUGCAUGUCGGUACAAGAUCAGACAAGAUGACCCUGGUGAUGUUGAGGGCGAUGACGAGCCCCCCAGGAAGAAGGUUCCUGCUAAGGUUAUGUGGUAUGCUCCUAUAAUACCACGGUUGAAACGUCUGUUCAGAAACAAUGACCAUGCCAAGUUGAUGCAGUGGCACAAAGACGAGCGUAAGAAAGACGGGAAGUUGAGACACCUCGCACAUGGGUCGGAGUGGAGGAAAAUUGAGAGGGAGUGGCCGGACUUUGCAGAAGACCCAAGAAACUUAUGGCUUGGUCUAAGUACAGACGACAUGAAAUUGACCUACGAGCAUUGUUGUUCGUAACCAUCAAUGAUUGGCCUGCUCUUAGUAACAUUUCAAGACAUUCAAACAAGGGAUACAAUGCAUGCACGCACUGUUUAGAUAAAACUAAAGGUACAUAUUUGGAAAAAAUCUAAGAAGGUUGUCUACCUGGGUGUCGUCAAUUUCUUCCGACCAAUCAUCCCGUAAGAAAGAAAGGCAAGCAUUUCAACGGUGAAGCAGAUCACCGGAAGAAGCCUAACCUCCCUACUAGUGAUGAGUUAUUGGCUAUGGUCAAGGAUUUGGAUCAAAUAGUAAUCUUUGGAAAGGGUCCUGGCGGUCAAUCUGUUUCGAAAGACGACGUUACCGGACACGUGCCCAUGUGGAAAAAUAAAUCUUUAUUUUGGGAGCUAGCCUAUUGGAAACACCUAGAGGUCCGGUCUUCAAUCAACGUGAUGCACGUGACGAAGAAUCUUUGCGUGAACCUGCUAGGCUUCCUGGGCGUGUAUGAGAAGACAAAAGAUACAAGCGAAGCACGGGAGGAGGAAGCAACGUAUGAAAGACCCAUACGACAAGAAGACUGAUAAAGGACGUCAAUACUUAAGCAGCUACGCUCUUACCAAAGCAGAGAAGGAAAUCUUUUUUGUAUGCCUAAGCAGUAUGAAGGUCCCGCGUGCGUGAAAAUGCUGAAUACCCUUGCAGAUCCACCGCCUCCGUUGCCAGCAAACUAUGAACGCUCUAUUCUCAAGUCGGUUGAGGCAAAAAAGUAGUGGUUGAAGAGUAGUACGUCCAGUGGGAAAUCAGUUGCCCAGCUCGGACAACAGAAAAACCAAUCGUGCCCCCGCUCAAAGUGUAUUCCAAUACAAAGGUGUGCUCGAGCGUAGCUGCGGUCGAGCAGAGGAAUGAUGAAACAACUGGUAUCGAUCCGGAGUUUGUUGCACUAUACGGAGAAGCGGCCAAGGCUCAUGACAUGUCUAUUGAUCGGUACUUAAACCAUACACAUGAAUUCACUGACGUAACAUACAUGUACCGGCAUGGGUCUCCUCUCGUCAAACCUGAGUUAGUCAACGAGCUACCAACAAAAAUGCGAAGAUUGCAUGACUGGUACAUGCGAGCAUCUGCUGAACAACAAAGCUGGAUCUACUGUGCAUAUAAAAACGAGCAUUACGGUCAUGGAGAAGGCGUGCUAAUGAUUGAAUUUGACGAAUUAUUUCAGUUAUAUAAACAAGACGACCUCGACAAAUCUAUCAUUAGUACCUAUUGUUUGUAAGUAUUAUUAAUUUAUAUCAUUAAGUCUUACUCAGCUCGUUCAUUGCAUGUAUAAUCUUACUCAUCACUAUAUUAAUUUUGCAGAAUGAAGAUUCUCGAAUGCAAAAGAGGACGAAUCUAUGACAUUGAGUUCAUUGACCCAUAUUUCAUUCAUGACAAAAGUCUCGCAGUGGAUCCCCGCGAGACAGAGAAUAACUUGGUACAAGGGUUAAGGUUUUCCGCUACCAAAAGAGAAAUAUUAUUUCCUUACAACUUCAAGUGAGUGUUACUACACACAUUCUAUUUUUGCUUACUCGAUGUUAUUAAGUGUAUAAUUGACUUGUUAUGCGUGCGCAGGUUCCACUUUAUUCUGUUAAUCAUUCUACCUGACAAGGGACUAGUAAAAGUCAUGGACCCGAAACACACACCCCUCGAUGAUUGGGAGAACAUGCAGGAAUGCCUCCAGAGGUAAUUUCAAUGAUUAUGGCACUAUAUCGGCAACUUCUAGUUCAUUUCCUGAUAGCAAGUAAUUAAUAUAGAACUCCUUUAUUCAUUUCCUUUUCUUGACAGGGUUUGGAAACGGUUCACCACCAAGUGUCGGGGUGUUUGGAAGCCAGAGCUUACAUUUAAACAAAUGGAUAUAAGUAACUACUAGCUAGAUCCGCGCAUCUCUUUAUUCUAGUUUCAAUACCAUUAUCAUUCUUGAUUAUGUUUUUGGUUGAACUCUGUUCUCGUAAAGUGCUUGAAGCAGGAACAUGGGAGCAAUUUAUGUGGAUACUAUGCUUGCGAGUUCAUUCGCUAGACGACCCAUGAAACGGGCAAAAAUCGAGACAUAAAAAAAUUUGAAGUACGAUAAACAAUACUCACAACUUUAUUUUAUUACCGUCAAUUGUGUUCGGUUUCAUUGAUAUAUAUUGACCCCUUCUUUAAAUUAGAUCGAACGGUUGCGGGACGGUCUUCUACCACAAGAACGUGCACGAGCAAUUCAAAAGGAAAUUGUCGGAUUCUUAGAUGCAGAGGUCCUAGAUGUGAAGGGAGAAUACGAUUGCCCGUGGAUGCAAUUCAUAUGAAAUGUUAGUGUAAAAAAGAUGCAUAUGUGUAUGUAACUCGUGCCUACAUUUUGUAAUAUGUUCGACAAAGCACGACGGAUAAGAUGGUGUAAUAUAUUCAUGACGAUGAUGUGCAAUAUAGUUGUUCCUUUAUUGCUGUGUAUGCACCAUCCAAUUUAAUGCAAAACAAGAAUUAAAAGUGUUCAAAACAAAUAAAUGGGAAAAUAGAGGGCAGGAAAAUAGCCCCAUCCAAUUUAGUGUAAAAUCCUAAACCCUAAAAAAUGCUAAAAAAGAUAGCGAAGCAAUAGACCCGGUUCGCAAUAAGAACCGGGACUAAUACCCCUCCCCCUCGCUUCCAGCCCCGCCACGUGGAGGACCAUUAGCCCUGGUUUGGGACCGAACCGGGGCUAGCAUUAGUCCCGUUUUGUUAGUCCCGGUUCGUUAACCGGGGCUAAUGGCCCAAAUGAACCGGGGCUAUAACCCCGUUUUCUAUUAGUGAAGACACGACAUGUAGGUGGUCAUGAGCCUGGUCCCGGUGUCCUCCUCCAGGGCCGCCACCUCGGGCGCCGCCUUCAGCCUCUUGGCUGCCCCGGAUGCCGCUGCCGCAUGGAUCGCGAAGCCAUUCAUGGCAUGGUGGAAUCACAGCCCAUCUUCCUAAUGAUGGAUGCCUGCUUUUUACUCCCUCCGUUCCUAAAUAUAGGUCUUUUUAAAGGUUCUUCUAAUGGAUUACAUACGGAUGUAUAUAGACAUAUUUUAGAUUGUAGAUUCACUCAUUUUACUUCGUAUGUAGACUCCUAGUAAAAUCUCUUAAAAGACUUAUAUUUAAAAACGAAGGGAGUAUUAAUUAAAUUGAUUGUUUUUUACGGGUCUUGUUGUUCCUUUGGUCUUAAAAUUUCUUGUGCUCUCAAAAUAGACCAUUACAUGACACGUGUCAUAAAUUGGCAGUUUGGUUAUGACUUUGUCGAGUGGCAGACGAACGUCGGUUAACGAGAGUUGCUCGAGCUGCCUAUUUGAGUUAAACCGUGUUCCGCAUCUCGACAAUGUGCACCAGCUUGCCGAGUAUUAACGCUCGACAAAGACCUGAAUGAACCAACUACACUAGUGGGGACGGGGCCUUUAGCCCCGGCUUGUAAGGGGCUUUAGUCCCCAUUCACCAACCGGGACUAAAGGGGCGGGACUAAAGGCCUAACCGUUAGUCCCGACCAUGUUACAAGUCGGGACUAAAGGUGCUCCACGUGGGCGCCUCGUAGCGCCCCAGGGGCAGGCCCUUUAGUCCCGGUUCGUUACACGGACCGGGACUAAAGAGUUUCAGAUUUUGCUUAUUUUUGGGUUUUUUUUGAAUGAAAUUAUUUUUGGGUUUUAGGGUUUUAGGGUUUAGGUGUUCGGAAGAUUAACGUGAUGCCUCAUUUGGUGUUCGGGAAUUAGUUUUCAUAUAAUUUAAAUAGAAAUAAUUAUGCAUAUAUGUAUAAGAUUAACUUAUCUUACAAGCGAGCAUAUAUAUACAAUUAUAUGCAGAUCUGAAUUAUCGGGACUAGAGCCCGUCUAUUCGAUUACAUGGACGAACAUCAGUAAUGGCCCCCUAGCUACACUAAAUUCUCCAUUGUCAUCUAUAGCUUCCGUCCUCAGAAAGGUCGCAAGCUCCUCUGCAACAGCAAUCACGCGUUGCUCUGGUAGGACCUUCGUCCUCAUGGCCGUGUACUAUAUAAGAAGAGGAGAUGAAUAUGAAUAUCAAUCAUGAUAACAAAGAAUGACGGGUAAAAAUAGAGGUGUGAAUGUUCAUUGCUUACGUCGAAUCUGUGAUCCUUGUGCUCAGAGGUAAACAUGCAAAUGGUCUCGCAAACAUAGUAUCCGCAUAGAUGCGUUCCCCGUGGCUGCUGGUCGCACUUUACGAGAAUAAAAUAUAUAUAAUCAAAAUAAUAAUCUAGCAUCAUAGAUGUAUUGAAAAUAGAAGUAUAUAAUACUACUACUUACCUGAGCCACUCUAAAGGUCAGCUUCUCAGGCUCGAUACCGGGAGUCACGCACUUGAACCGCUUCCAAACCCUGUCUGACAAGGAUAAUGAUUUGCUAAGUUUUUCAUUAAUUGAUAUAUCAGAAAAUCAUCGAAAGAGACCGAUAGAGCACAAGAAUGAUUGAAAUUACCCUUGGAGCAUGUCCUGCAGGCUUUGGAACUGUUCCAAGGGUCUCGAUAAUGGGUCGAAGGCAUCAACUCUUUCCUUAUCAAUUUGAAUGUCCAACAGAAUCCAAUGAAAGCUGCACAUGUAUAUAUAUAUAUGUCACUAACUUAUCAAUUACACUUAUAAGUGAAUGGACACAACAGAGUAAAGAACCUCACCUGAAGUUGUAUGGAAACAAUAUGUGGUCACAGAAAUUUUGAUCUGUUAGAAACCUUAGAAGGUUUUCCUCCGUCUCCUUGGGUUUAUCAGUUAGCGUCGCUAUAUGUAUUUUAUCUGGGUCAAUAAACCCAAUAUUUAUGAUGUUUUUUUUUACAAUCCAGAAUCUUCAUUCUGCAUAAUAGAGUACACGUUAUAUAUAGACAAUGAAUUGAAAUAACUAAAGAAGUUAUAUGUAGACAACAAAUUGAAAAACUUACAGACAAUAGCAACUCAUAAGCGAUUUGUCGAGGGCGUCGCCAUUGUACAUCUGGAAGAGUUCAUCAAAGUCGAUAUGGAUUUCUUCGGGGCGGCCGUAGUACUCCCGUGGGACACUCACCACGAUCAUCGUUCUCCCAUUCUUUGAUUCACUUAACUACCAUGUAUGCAAGUAACGCAUAUUUGUUGGGAGAUCAUCUUUGCUGACCAAAGGCGCUCCCAUGACAAACUGUGGCUUAGGGGCUACCACAGCCUUGGGUAACCUGUCGUCUUGGAAAGCCAGAACAUCUUCAACCGAGACACCCCAUUCAGCCGCCCACUUCUUUGCUAAUUCAAAAUCUUGCCCCUGCACCGGAGGGGGAACAUUCUCGGUUAACACCUUGAGGGGUGGGAUCGACUGUUUGGCCUGUUGUCCAUGCUGAGGAAUGUCAGAUUUUUUCUUGCUUGUAGUUGAACUUGAUUUGCUCCCACUUGCACUUGCACGUGAUCUGCUCUUUUUCACUUCCUUCUGCAAUGUGCGUGUAUAGUCAUCAGGCUUAUGGUGUAAGUCAUACUGUGAUGGAAGGUUCGUGAAGUAUUUUGCAAAUGCUAUUUGCUUCUCGGUGUAUUCCGGGCGGGGCUCGGGUUCCUUCUUUUUCAUCUGCGCAUCAUGAUGUUCCUUUGCUAUCCUGGCGUUUUCCUCGGGGGUACGAUCAUAAGGUCUGAUAGGAAGAUUAGCAUGAGGUACCUUUGGGAGGGGCGACCGUUUGCGCUUUGGGGGGCUCCGUCGCUUAGAAAUCGUCGGCGGAGCGUUCUUGGUGGCACGCUCCCGCUUAGUAUCCGGAGCGGGCGGCGGCGGAGACGGACGACCCAAGUCCGGCGGCGGUGAUCGGGAUGGACUCGUGUUGUGCUGGCCGACGUCAUGUGGAGGGCUUGGAGGUAAUGGAGGUGUAGGUGACUUGCGACGACUCGGAGGCGGUGUUGUCCUUGGGGCCGAGCCUGGAAGCUUGAUGUAGUUCUUGUUCCAUAGGAUGACUCCACCCAGUACUUCUCCAAGUGUCCUCUCAUCUUCGGGUCCAGCUAUGUCGAGCUACAUAUCAUGAAACCCCGUCAUUGAUUUCAUCCACCCCGACUUUAGCAAAGCCAGCUGGAAUCUCACGGCCAUGCCAGCGUGCAUCAGGGCCAGAAGGUAAAGCUUGUCCGACGGCCACCUUCAUGGAUAUAUUCUUGAAUUUCUGAUGGAGUUCACAUGAUGUUGACUCCUUGAUUCCAUCCACGGGGUAGCCGGGACCGCCCUCUAUCAUUCUUCGUGCAUCGUCGGGCAGGGCCUCUGAUUCAGCCACACUGCUUUUCCGCUUAGAUGGGGCGCCGGUAAUAUCAAGUGCAGGAUCUUCCUGGCGCGUUACUCCUCUAAGCUCAUCAAUCUGCUUCUGUUGCUCGUUAAUCCUGGCAAGCAACUGGUUGAACUUGUCAUUCUCCUCAUCCUGCUGCCGCUUCUUUGCUCUCUCUCGGCUUCUGUAAGUGUCUUGGUCUUUGGCAAACCCAAGCCACCACGGGUAAGAAGGACCGAAGCCUCGCGUUCGUCCUCCAUGUUCGUCAUUGCCGAGGACCAGUGUGAGCAAAUCUUUAUCUCUAUCUGCAGUGAACUUUCUUGUUCCCUCCUUAAUUUCUUUCACUAUCCUUUUCCAAUUCUCCGUGGGUAUCCUAAGACCGUCACUGCAGAUGAGGUCUCCUGUUUCUUCGUCGUACGAACCACCAUGCGCAAGGAACCAAUUUCUUGCUCUCAAUUCCCACUCAUCACGGAGUGGUUCAGGUACGAUGCCUUUAUCUAGCAGAUCUUGCUCUUUCUUAUCCCACUUUGGGAUGGCAGUCUCAUAGCCCCCUGGCCCCAGCUUGUGGUGAUAUUUCUUCUUGUCGGCAUUUAUCUUGUUCUUUUCUGAUAAUGCCUGGGCAUCUUGUGACUCCUUGUACUCUUGAAAUGCCUUCCAGUGAUUCGCCUGCUUGGCUAGAUACCCCUCGAAUACUGACAUUUUCUUUGUCUUCAGAUAGUUUUUCCAUAGCUUCUUCUUCCAGCUACAGAACAGUUCGACCAUCUUCUUUAGAGUCCACUGCUUGACUUUGGCCCUCAGUUUGUCUGCGGCGUCUUUAUUCUCACAUUCUGGCAGGUUGAAAUGUGACAUGAGAUCAUUCCAAAGAUUAUCUUUGUACCUUUCGGCGACAUAGUCACUAUCGGCUGCCCCUUUGCGCUUGUUCCACUCCCGAACGCUGAUCGGGACGUGAUCCCUAACGAGAACUCCGCAUUGCUUCUUGAAUGUGUCAGCAACAUUCUUAGGAAGCUUGGGUUCGCCCGUAGGCAAUAUCACCUCAAAGGUGUAAUGCGUCCGUGCAUCCAACUUUCUAGUCGGGCCUCGUUUCGUAGCUUUGCUCGAUGUGGAGGCCUAAGAGGGAGAAACAUUCGUCAAAUGAAUGUAUAUGUAUACAAUAUAGAGCUAUCUCCAAUAUUUUUCACAUAUUACAAGUGAUUGUCGAACUUCAUAUGUAUACCUCGCCGGAUUUUAUUAUUUCUUCACCGGCUUCUCCACCGGCUUCUCCAUCAGUGGAGCUAUCACCUUCUCCGUCAUUGGACCUAUCUCCUGCCCCAUCGGCUUCAUCUUCGUGUCGCUCGACCUCCAUUCCAUAUCCGGAGGGGUUUAGAUAUGACGACGAAGAUUCAGCUGGUUCAACGUCGGGGCCGUCUUUGAUUAUAUCUUCGAUAAGUUCUUCCUCUUCGAGGUUCCUGAUAUGUGGAUCCAUAGUUCUGCAAAAAACGGACAUUUGAUUAACUAAUAAACUAACAAACUAUAUAAGAGGGGUUGGAAACUUCGAAGUGUCAUUUUAUAUAGGAGGACCUUUAGUCCCGGGUCUUGGCUAGAACCUAAACUCUAAAAUACCAGCCGGACGGAGCCCAGUCCCGGACACUUAAGCAUAUACAAUAGCAAAAUUAAACUAGUUCUGUUAAUUUUCUUGCUAAAAAUAAACUAUUUACACUUAAGCAUAUACAAUAGCAAAAUUGAACAAUUAACACUUAAGCAUAUACAAUAGCAAAAUUAAGCAAUAAUCUAAGAAACACUAUUAACACUUAAGCAUAUACACUAUACAAUAGCAAAAUUAAAUGACAAAAAAAAUAUUUCUUCUUCUUGUAACCCUAAACUAAUUUUUCCUCUUCUUCUAUUUCGGGGGGGGGGCUACUUCUUCUUCUACUUCUACUUCUCCUCUUCUUCUACUACUUCUCAUCUUCUCUUCUUCUACUUCUCCUCUCCUCCUCUUCUAAUUUUUUCUCUUCUUCUACUUCUCCUCUUCUUCUAUUUUUCCUCUUCUUCUCCUCUCCUCCUCUUCUUAUUCUCCUUUUUCUUAUUUUCUUCUCCUCCUCUUCUUAUUUUCCUUUUUCCUAAUUCUACAUAUUACUAACCCUAAUAAUCUAGCACAAACCUAAUAACAAUAGGAAUUAAAUGAUAAAAAAAUCUUUNNNNNNNNNNNNNNNNNNNNNNNNNNNNNNNNNNNNNNNNNNNNNNNNNNNNNNNNNNNNNNCUCCUUUUUCUUCCUUUCUUCUCCUUUUUCUUCUUUUCUUCUACUGGACGGAGUGUUGGGGAGGAGGGGGCGGGGGGCUUACCGGCCGGAGGUGUCGACGGCGCGCGGCGAGGAGGACGGCAGGCGGCGGCAAGCAGGACGGCGGGCAGCCUGCCGGCGUCGUCGAGUUCGUCGCUGUGCCGCGCCGGGCAGGAGAACGAGGAAGAAGGAGAGAAGGAAAUGCGAUUUGGGUUGGAAAUUUUCUAACUCCCGCUAAUAUAGGUGGAUCUUUAGUCUCGGUUCGGGGCUCAAUCCGGGACUAAAGACCCCCUUUAGUCCCGGGUGGAGCCACGACCUGGGACUAAAGGCCCUUUUUUGGCAGACCAAAAGGCGGGAAGCAGGGGCCUUUAGUCCCGGGUCGGGGCUCGAGCCGGGACUAAAGACACCCUUUAGUCCCGGUUUGUGGCAAGAACCUGGACUAAAGGUUAAGCUAUUAGUCCCGGUUUUAGACAAAAGCCGGGACUAAAGUGUUGCCUAUAUAAACCCUCUCCCCUGCCCACCCUCUCCCCUAUUUUUUGGUUGUUGAAGUGUGACCAUGCCAUGCUCUUGCCACUCUAGUUCAUGCACAUGACGUGUUCGAUGAAAUGCCCGAGCCACUCUACUUAAGCUUUCUCCUCUCCAAGCUCGACCUCCAAGCUCCAUUUUCCUUAAUAUUUGUCUAGGUUUGGCCGUGCACCAACUGCACAAGUGUUUUAAAAGGUUAGGUACUUCAUCCUUUCAUUUGUCACUGCUAGUGUAGCUCAUUUCAAAUGCUGAAAUUAACUUCUUAGAGUCUGCACAUGCGUAGGGUGUCGUCCCGUGCCCGUCCUCACCAUUGUCGAUCGCCCCGUGCCGAUCUCGUCGCGAGCACCACCGUGGUGAGCCUCUUGUUCUUAUCUUCUUUUUAAAAGAAAAAAAUCUUACUUGUAUGAUUUAGAUACAUACUUGUAUAAAUUACUCACUUUCAUUAUUUUUUGUUAUUAUAUAGUGCGAUGGUUUUGGUAUCCGCCUCCGUCAGCCCUCGUCCUGUCUAUGAUUCGGAUGUGGUAUAUAUUAUCUUUUAUAACUAUUUGUUUUAUUUAGUGUUUAUGACAAUUAUGACGACCAACGUGACAUAUAUUUUUUAAUCUAGGAGGUAUGUGAACCGGAAAUUCCAACCAACAUAGAAAUUCUUGUCGAGAAGUUAAAUUUGGUUGAAAAAGAAAAUAAAUACUUGAAGAAAAAAUUUAAAAUAAUUUCACCCACAUAGCAUGUGUUAAAAAGUUGAGAGGGCUACGACAAAAACUGGAUGCACUUCGUGUACAAAACGGACAAUCUCUCUCGAAGUAUCAGGGUUUCGAACGAGAACUCAUCUCUUACAAAGGGAUUUCAUUUUUUUGAACUUAUUUGAACUCCAUACUUUUUGUGUGUUCAAAAUGCACCAUUCAAAGGCACAUCACAAAAUUUCAACAAUUUCUGAUUUCAUUUGGUAUUCUUCGUGCAUUUACUUAUAUUUUUUGAGCUAGUUGACCCUGAAAUUGAAAAGCACUACAAAUGAACUCUGAAAAUGUUGAAAGUUGGAAUGCUAUCAUCAUUUCACCCACAUAGAAUGUGUUAAAAAGUUGAGAGGGCUACGACAAAAACUGGAUGCACUUCAUGUACAAAACGGACAAUCUCUCUCGAAGUAUCAUCGUUUCGAACGAGAACUCAUCUCUUACAAAGGGAUUUCAUUUUUUUGAACUUAUUUGAACUCCAUACUUUUUGUGUGUUCAAAAUGCACCAUUCAAAGGCACAUCACAAAAUUUCAACAAUUUCUGACUUCAUUUGGUAUUCUUCGUGCAUUUACUUAAUUUUUUUUGAGCUAGUUGACCCUGAAAUUGAAAAGCACUACAAAUGAACUCUGAAAAUGUUGAAAGUUGGCAUGCUAUCAUCAUUUCACCCACAUAGCAUGUGUUAAAAAGUUGAGAGGGCUACGACAAAACUGGAUGCACUUCAUGUACAAAACGGACAAUCUCUCUCGAAGUAUCAGCGUUUCGAACGAGAACUCAUCUCUUACAAAGGGAUUUAAUUUUUUGAACUUAUUUGAAUUCCAUACUUUUUGUGUGUUCAAAAUGCACCAUUCAAAGGCACAUCACAAAAUUUCAACAAUUUCUGACUUCAUUUGGUAUUCUUCGUGCAUUUACUUAUUUUUUUUGAGCUAGUUGACUCUGAAAUUGAAAAGCACUACAAAUGAACUCUGGAAAUGUUGAAAGUUGGCAUGCUAUCAUCAUUUCACCCACAUAGCAUGUGUUAAAAAGUUGAGAGGACUACGACAAAAACUGGAUGCACUUUGUGUACAAAACGGACAAUCUCUCUCAAAGUAUCAGGGUUUCGAACGAGAACUCAUCUCUUACAAAGGUUUAUUAAAAUUAUUUUUGCGUAUUUGAGAAUUUGAAAAAACUAUGAAAAUCAAAAGUGUUUGGAAUUUAGUACAUUCCAUAUAUGCAUUACAUAAAAGGUUUAAUACAUUAUUACAUUAUUGCACCAAUAUUCCUAUCUUUUAUUUCUGUUUUCUUCUGGGUUGUAGCCAUGGAGAAUCUUCAUCAUUCAGUAGGAUGCUUGGGUCAGUUUUCACUUUGAAGGGCGGAAUUUCAUGAAACUUAUUAUAAUCUUCUGACAUGUCUGUCUUGUCAUCUACUCCCACGAUGUUUCUUUUCCCUGAAAGAACUAUGUGGCGUUUUGGCUUAUCGGACGAUAUCUUCUUUUGCUGGUUUCUUUUUCUCGUUUUUGUAGACAUGUCCUUCACAUAGAAAACCUGAGCGACAUCAUUGGCUAGGACAAAUGGUUCGCCCAUGUACGCAAGAUUGUUGAGAUCCACUGUUGUCAUGUCAUACUUUUGGUCUACAACUACUCCGCCUCCUGUCAGCUUCACCCAUUUGCACCGAAACAAAGGGAUCUUAAAAGUAGGUCCAUAGUCAAGUUCUCAUAUCUCCUCUAUGUACCCGUAAUAUGUUUCCAAACAGUGCCCAUUCUCGUCUGUUGCAUCAAAGCGGACACCACUAUUUUGAUUGGUGCUCUUUUUAUCUUGGGCAACCGUGUAAAAUUUAUUCCCAUUUAUCUCAUACCCUUGGAAAGUACAUAUAGUCGAAGAUGGUGGCCUGGCCAAACAGUACAACUGAUCUCCAACGGUGUCGUCAUUCAUGAGAUGUGUCUGCAACCAACUGCCGAAAGUCUUCUCGUGUUCCCCUUUAAUCCAAGAGUCAGCCUUCCCCGGGUUUUCGGAGCGUAGAAUAUUCUUGUGUCUCACGAUAUACGGAGCCACCAUGGUGGAAUUGUGUAGAGCUGUGUAGUGUGCUUGAGAGAAAGAAUGCCCAUCCAUACAUACUUUUGCUUUCCUUCCUAGUGUGCCUUUUCCUGUCAGCCUACCCUCAUACCGAGAUUCAGGAACACCAAUCGACUUAAGGUUAGGAAGAAAGUCCACACAAAACUCAAUGACCUCCUCUGUUCCAUAGCCCUUGGAGAUGCUUCCUUCUGGCCUAGCACGGUUACGAACAUAUUUCUUUAAGACUCCCAUGAACCUCUCGAAGGGAAAAUAUUGUGUAGAAACACAGGACCGAGAAUUCUAAUCUCUUCGACUAGGUGAACUAGGAGGUGUGUCAUUAUAUUGAAGAAGGAUGGCGGGAACAACAACUCAAAGCUGACCAGACAUUGGACCACAUCAAUCUGUAACCCUGAUAGACUUUCUCGAUCGAUUACCUUCUGAGAAAUUGCAUUGAGGAAUGCACAUACCUUCACAAUUGCCAGGCGAACAUUUUCCGGUAGAAUUCCCCUCAAUGCAACCGGAAGCAAUUGCGUCAUAAGCACGUGGCAGUCAUGAGACUUUAGGUUUUGGAAUUUUUUGUCUUUCAUAUUUACGAUUUCCUUUAUAUUCGACGAGAAGCCAGUCGGGACCUUGAUACUGAAAAGGACUUCAAAGAAGAUUUCCUUCUCUUCCUUAGUAAGAGCGUAGCUGGCACGCCCUUGAAACUGCCCUGGAUGCAUGCCAUCUCUUCCUUUAUGACGUUCCUGGUCCUCCCGUGCUCCCGGUGUAUCUUUUGACUUCCCAUACAAGCCCAGGAAGCCUAGAAUAUUCACGCAGAGAUUCUUCGUCAGGUGCAUCACGUCGAUUGCCGAGCGGACCUCAUGGACUUCCCAGUAGGGUAGCUCCCAAAAUAUAGAUUUCUUCUUCCACAUGGGUACGCGCUUCUCAGGGCCGUUAGGAACAGUUUGGCUGCCAGGACCCUUUCCAAAGAUUACUUUUAAAUCUUUGACCAUAUCUAAUACUUCAGCACCAGUACGGAUGACAGGCUUCCCCCGGGGUUCUGCCUUGCCAUUGAAAUGUUUGCCUUUUUUCUUUAAGGGAUGCUUGGGCGGAAGAAAACGACGAUUGUACGGGUAUACAUUCUUCCUACAUUUGUCCAGAUAUAUACUUUCUGUCUGAUCCAAAUAGUGCGUGCAUGCAUUGUAUCCCUUGUUUGACUGUCCUGAAAUGUUACUAAGAGCAGGCCAAUCAUUGAUGGUUACGAAAAGCAACGCUCGAAGGUCAAAUUCCUCUUGUUUGUGCUCGUCCCACACACGUACUACACCUGGUUCGGCCCACAGCUGUAAAAGUUCAUCAACUAAUGGCCUUAGGUACACAUCAAUAUCGUUGCCGGGUUGCUUUGGACCUUGGAUAAGCACUGGCAUCAUAAUGAACUUCCGCUUCAUGCACAACCAAGGAGGAAGGUUGUAGAUACAUAGAGUAACGGGCCAGGUGCUGUGACUGCAACUCUGCUCCCCAAAAGGAUUCAUGCCAUCUGUACUCAGACCUAACCAUAAGUUCCUUGCGUCAGCUGCAAAUCUCGGGAAGUCUCUCUCGAUUUUUGUCCACUGCCGACCAUCAGCGGUGUGCCUCAACUUAUCGUCUUUCAUACGAUCUUCCAUGUGCCAUCGCAACAACUUCGCAUGAUCUUUAUUUCUGAACAGACGUUUCAACCGUGGUAUUAUAGGAGCAUACCACAUCACCUUGGCAGGAACUCUCUUCCUGGGUGGCUCGCCCUCAAUAUCACCAGGGUCAUCUUUUCUGAUCUUAUACCGCAAUGCAGUGCAUACCGGGCAUUUAUCCAUAUUCUCGUACUUCUCACCGCGGUAGAGGAUGCAGUCAUUAGGGCAUGCAUGUAUCUUCUGCACGUCUAAUCCUAGAGGGCAGACAAGCUUCUUUGCUUCGUACGUGCUGGCGGGCAAUUCGUUCUUUCUUGAAUGCAUCUUCUUCAUCAGUACCAGCAACUUUUCGAAUGACGAGUCAGUCACACCAGUCUCUGCCUUCCACUUCAGCAAUUCCAAUGUGCUACCCAGCUUCUUCUGGCCAUCUUCACAAGUUGGGUACAACAAUUUGUUGUGGUCCUGUAACAUCUGCUCGAACUGCAACCUCUCCUUUUCUGUGUCGCACCCUCGCCGUGCAUCAGAAAUGACCGGGCCAAGAUCAUCAGCGGGCUCAUCUGGUUCCCGUUCUUCAUCCUGAUCUUCUUCUUCAUUGUCUUCCAUUGCAGUAUCAGCAUACUCAGGGAACAUAGAUCGGUAGUUGUCAUCAUCGUUCUCUUCUUCUUCAUCGUCGUCUUCCAUCAUAACCCCUCUUUCUCCGUGCUUGGUCCAAACAUUAUAGCCCGACAUAAAACCAGACCGAAGCAGGUGGCUCUGAAUAACUCUUGAGGAAGUGUAAUCCUUCUCAUUUCGACAUUCAACACAUGGACAAAACAUAUAUCCACCACCAUGCUUGUUCGCAUCGGCUGCAUCUCGAAAAGAAUGCACGCCUUCUCUCUAAGCGGCUGUGCGUCGAUCACCGUACAUCCAUGGAUGGCUCAUCUGUGUUAUACGACAGUAUAUCAAAUACAAACACGAUCCUAAAAAUUAGUACCGCACGAUCUAAACGAGGAAAUAUAGUUGCUAAUCUUUUAGAAUAAGUAGAAAUAAAGAGGAAGAGGUUUAAGCGUGGCUCAGACAUCUCAUAUCGUAGUUGUGUUCGGUGAACUGAAGUGGCAUCGCUCUAACACACAUUUCAACAAACACCUCUAGUGCAUCAAAAAAAGUGAAGAGCUAGCACCCACCCACAAUCCUCCAUCCAAGAAAAAUGCAAGGAAGAGGGGAGAGGGGGGCUGUGCUAUAUAUAGGCAGAGGACUUUAGUCCCGGUUUGAGACACGAACCGGGACUAAAGGUGGCGCACAUGCGGGCUGCCCACCGCGUAGCUCUUUAGUCCUGAUUUGGGAGACGAACCGGGACUAAAGGCUCCUUACGGGCCGGGACUAAAACCUCGAGGGAGGCAUUGAAAAUUGAGACGACGUGGCCGGGCCUAAAGGGUCCCGGCCAAAGGCCCGUUUUCCUGCGACAGUGAAGUUACUUUAUUUUACCGAGACACAUUGUUUGAUUCUCGGCAAAUAGUUUGCCAAAUGUCCGUCAGUUGGUUCCUGGCAAAGUUUUGUUUGCCUCAGAGGUGUACGCGUGUACUCUUUGUUCAUAGCAAUGCUCGGCAAAGGCUUUGCCGAGUUUAUUUGGUCCUUUGCCGAGUAUUUCUAGCACUCAGCAUACACUACUAGAAUCUUGAAUUUCGUCGAGUUCUAAAUGUUUGCCGAGUUUCUUUUGCCAGGGAACUAGGCAAAGAAAUCUUUGCUGAGUUUUUUUUUGUACCGGGCAAAGAAAUCUUUGCCGAGUUUAUUUUUUAUUUGCGCCGGGCAAAGAAAUCUUUGUCGAGUUUCUUUUCUUUUAGCAGUGGGCAAAGAAAUCUUUGCCGACUUUAUUUUUGUUGCACUCGGCAAACAUCUAUUUUUUGUUUUUAAAUUUCCUUGUCCUUUCUCUUUGUCGAGUGCUUUGUUUAUUGCACAGAUUGAAUACUUAUUUUUAUUUUUUGUUUUCCUCUCCUUUCUCUUGUGUCUUUUCUUUUGUACAUUAUUUGCUUUACUUUUCCCUUUUAUAAUUUGUUCUCCUCUGUGUUAUUUAUUCUUAAUUUUAAUUUUCUAUUUCUUCCCCUUUCUCUAUUUCCUUUUCGAAUGGAUUUUCUAGGCAUUAAACAUUUUAGUGAAUAAAAAACAAUAUACGCAUUGUAAGUGCAUGAAAAAGUUGGCCCCAUACAAGAAAAAUUGUAAUAUUGACUAAUAUGAUACCUACAAUAUGUUGUAAAAGUUGAGAAAACGAAAUUGUAAGCCAUUUCUAGUUUUUUAACGGAUAUAAUACAAAUUUGAACUGCAAGUGCGUGAAAAAGUUGACAAAGUUGGGUAAAUAAUAAUAAUAAUUGUGUUCUUGGGUCCAUGUUUAACAUUUAUACAAGAAAUCGAAAGGACUUCUAAACAUGAGGAUGCCAAUACUUGUUCCCGAACGUGGAGUUUUUCGGUUAAUAAAUUCCAGAAAAUGCUAAUGAAGUCCAUAAAGCAUGAAUUUUGGCAUGGCGCCCUCAUAUCACAACUACAAGUUGAUGUAGAAAUUUGAGAAGGUUUCAGAAAAGUUGUGAUGUACAUCACUUAGAAACCAGAUAAUCUCAAAGGAAGAAACAUGAUUUUGGUAGGGAACGAGUGAGGUUUGAAGGCAAAGCUGCCGUUGCUUCAUCCGUUAGGCUUGAAUUUUUUGUGCACCAUUCAUGUAUUUGUUUUUGAAUAUUUAUGAGUCUGUUUGCUAUAUUUAACCCAUUAGAUGCAUUUCUAAACCUUUAACAAAUUUAAUUCAAAUUUGAACUGUAAGUGCCUGAAAAAGUCGAAUAGGUUGGGUUAAAAAAUCAUAAUUGUGUUCUUGAGUCCAUGUUUAAGUUUUAUACAAGCAAACAAAACGACUUCUAAACAUGAGGAUGCCAAUACUUGCUCCCUAACGUGGAGUUUUCCGGUUAAUAAAUUCCAUAAAAUUCAAAGGAACUCCGGAAAGCAUGAAAAUUGGCAUGGCGCCCUCAUAUGACAACUACAUGUUGUGGUAAAAAAUUGAGAAGGUUUCAUAAAAGUUGGGAUGUAAAUCGCUUAGAAACCAGACAAUCUCUAAGGAAGAAACAGGGUUUCGAUUGGGGACGGGCGAGGUUUUGAGGCGAAGCGACCGUUGCUUCAUCUGUUGGUCUUGAAAUUUUCAUGCACCCAAGAUACACCACUAUUUGAUAUAUGUAAUGUUUUAUAAUUAUUAUGAGUCUGUUUGCUAUAUUUAACCCAUUAAAUGCAAUUCUAAACCAUUAAAAAUAUAAUUCAAAUUUGAAUUGUAAGUGUGUUAGAAAGUUGAAAACGUUGGGUUGAAAAAUCAUAAUUUUGUUCUUCGUCUAUAUUCAGGCCUUACGCAAGAAAAUAAAAUCCAAACAUGAGGGGGCCAAGAAUCGAUUGAAAAGGGUGAAUUUUUUUGUUAUUAAAUUCUAAAAAAUGCAAAAGAAUUCCGAAAAGCAUGAAAAUUGGCAUGAUGCCCUUAUAUGGCACCUACAAUGGUGUGGUAAAAAAUUGAAAAAGUUUCGCAAAAUAUUUACAAGGGUAAAGGGCACACUUUUGUGAUAAAGAAAGCCCACAAUCUGUGCUUUUUCCCUACUGGAUAGGAGGAAAUUGCACGGAUCGUUGACAUGGCGUCAAUCUGCACUGUUAAACACUCAGAGAUCGAACGGUCUAUGGCGCCUCCCCUCGCUCCUUCCCUCCCUCUCUUAUCUUCUUAUCCCCUCGUCCUCUCUCUGGUGGUGGUGGGUGGCUACCGGCUCCCUCUCCCUCUCGAGGCUGACCAGCUCUGAUAGUCAAAACACGAGGGGCGCACAGUCAAGGCACAUGUUCAUGACAAAGUACCCCCCGUGUGUUUACUUCUUCAAUUCUAUAACUAACUUAUGGACCUUUUACUGGUCAACCAUAUUGGAAAGGAAAAUGAAGUGCAGGGGUCAUGCUGAUCAGGCAAUGUUCGAGGUGUCAAUUUUUAUGACCUGUCCAUGAAAAAGACAAGAAAACAGAUGGAUACACCUGUGGCUGUGGUGACCGAUUGGUGUACUUAACGGGAGCGCCUGUGGCUGUGAGGCAUAUCACCACACUAACUUGACUACGUAUGGUCAAGUGUACUCUAUUAAUUUAUGUAUUCAAUUGUACACAAUAUUUGACUUUAUGGAGCUUUGACUGGAAAACUGAUGUGCAGGCUGAUCUACAGGCAAUCUUCGAGUUGUCAAAUUUUAUGCCACACUAAAAUGAUGGUGAUUUGCGCCUAUAUAUAGAAUAUGUGUUCGUGAGUCUUAUCCCACACUAAAAGGCAUUUCUAUUUUUGCCUGAGGCAAAACUGCAAGCAAACCUGAUGGUUAUGGUGAUGGAGCCAAGCGCAUCCACCCUCGUGCUCCUCACUCUCGCCUCACUUGUGAUCCUUGCGUCGGUACUGAGCCGCAAACGGAAAAACCAUAGGCGGCCUCCAGGCCCAUGGCGCCUCCCCUUGAUCGGAAGCCUCCACCACGUCCUCACGUCGCAGCCGCAGGUCGCCCUCCGGGACCUGGCCAAGAAGCACGGCCCGGUCAUGUACCUCCGGUUCGGCCAGAUGGACACCGUCGUCGUCUCCUCGCCUGCCGCGGCGCAGGAGGUGCUCCGGGACAAGGACCUCUCAUUCGCGUCGAGGCCCAACAUCCUGGUCUCACAGAUCUUUUGCUACGGGGGCCGUAACGUCAUCCUCGCGCCCUACGGCCCCUACUGGCGGAUGACGCGCAAGCUCUGCACGGUUGAGCUCCUGAGCGAACGCAAGGUGCGGCAGUUCGCGCCCUUCAGAGACAGCGAGACCAUGUCCCUUGUCGAGAACGUCCGCGCCGCCGGUCGGGGCGGCGCGCCAUUGAACCUUGGCAAGCUACUCAUUUCCUGCACCAACACUAUCACCGCCAAGGCUACGUUCGGCCAGGUGUGCGACGAGGAGCUCCAGGAUCGCUUCAUGGCCGUGACCGGCCUGGCGAUCAAGGUCGCCGGCGGAUCCAGCGUCGGGGACCUGGUCCCGUCGCUGUGGUUCGUCGACGCCCUCACUGGGCUGAGAGGCCGUCUGUGGCGUGCGCGCCGGCAGCUGGAUGCCAUCCUGGACAAGAUCAUCGCUGAUGAAUGCAGGGAGGGGCAGCGAGGUGACCACCUUCUCGGAGUACUGCUUAGGAUCAAGGAUGAGGGGAACCUUGAAUUCCCCAUCGACAUGACAAACAUCAAGGCGAUCAUAUUGGUACGUGUCAAGCUUCAUGCACUAACCAACGUAAUAAAAGUCUAAAUAGAUUGAAAGUGCUAGACAAUCCAUGAUAUACACUCCAACAAUAUGAUACUAAAUAGAUCUAGUUUCUUUUAUCCGAGAGUAACUUAAUUUUCAUUUUUGUUCAUGCCCCUUCAGGAUAUGUUCACGGCAGGGACGGAGACGACGUCGGCAGUGGCCGAGUGGGUCAUGGCCGAACUCAUGAGGAACCCAAAGGUGAUGGCCAAGGCGCAGGCUGAAGUGCGUCAUACCUUGGACACCAAGAACCCUAUAGACCAUGAAGAAUACAUAGAUGAUCUGCACUACACCAAAAUGGUGAUCAAGGAGACCAUGAGGUUAAACCCUGUGGUGCCGUUGCUUGUCCCUCAUCUCUGUCAGGAAACCUGCGAUGUUGGCGGAUUUGAGGUCAAGGAGGGCACCAGGGUCUUGGUCAAUGCAUGGGCGAUGGCGAGAAGCCCCGAGUACUGGGAAAACGCAGAGGAGUUCAUGCCGGAGAGGUUCGAGGACGGCACGGCCACCUACAAGGGCUCGCGGUUCGAGUACUUGCCGUUCGGCACUGGAAGGAGGAAGUGCCCCGGCGAUACCUUUGGGCUGGCCACACUGGAGCUCGCGGUGACACGGCUCCUCUACUAUUUUGAUUGGAGCCUCCCUGCCGGAACACGGGUAGAUGAGCUCGACAUGGAAACAAGCGUGGGGUUAGCCGCGAGGAGGAAGAACCAGCUGCACCUAGUGGCGACCCCUUAUAAGGGUGCUUGCUAGGCAAAUACUAUCUAUGUGCUCUCUUAUGUUCUUUUCCGUACAAAAAAAAUCACCGUGGAGUUUUUUUUCCCAAGAAAUAACCACUGUGAAGUGUAUUUGUAAAUUAAGUUCAUAACCUCUUUAUGCCUGCACAUGGACGGGUGAAUAGCUCAUGUGUGAAGUUUUUGAUGCGAAUUGGAAAGAAUGAAAC
Molecule: long non-coding RNA, 47578 nt
Filed under: Hordeum vulgare
Lineage: Eukaryota; Viridiplantae; Streptophyta; Magnoliopsida; Poales; Poaceae
Description: long non-coding RNA (HVUL_LNC002560)
Rfam family: MIR1120/MIR1122 microRNA precursor family (bases 21611-21715)
Source: RNAcentral